UAGAUCCGGCCCGCCCGGCCGCGGCGUGGUGGAGCCAUGGCUCAAGAGUUAUCUGCAUUUUGUUUUAUGGACGUUUCAGUGUUUGUUAUGCAAGCUAGGAAGUGAUUCCAGGAUAUGUCUCUGUUAUCAAUUUCGUCGUGUUAUGAGGAUAUUGCUUGUACUCUGGUGUACUCAUGUUACCAUGCUGUGCCAAGUAAAGAACCUUUGCUAUAUGCCACCCUUGUUAAAUUUGUCUCCAUGGCUUAAUUUUGGUUCGAAUGGUCUACUGUAUUGUGCUGAUGGUUAUUUCUGUGUAUGUCUGUUUGUGUCGUGCCAUUGUUAUUGCCAAAGGGCAUGGUAAUUGUAGUGAACUGGCUGCUAGUCAUGCUAUCUAGUUUAUGUUUGUGUUAGUUGGGUUUUUUCUGGAGAUAUGUUGUUGCAGACCACUUAGCAGAGAGAGAGAGAGGGAUGUGAUUUGAUGAUUGUUUUCUUGAUUUGCACUAACUACUAAGGUAUUUCAUGUCCCUGUAAGUUCUGACAUGAGGUUUUUUUUCCUACCAGCAUGUGUUUAACGUAGUUGGUUUAUAUUUUGUAAGCAGGGUCAGCUUUUGUAACCCUGUUUACAUGUAGAGUGUAUGGCUGUGAGUUCACAGAUAGUCUAUCCAUGCUUCAGAUACAUGGCGUGUAGUACAGUUUGGAGUUCACUUCUGGUUUAACCAUGCCUUCGCUUGCCAGUUACCAACUCAAUUACAGUUUUGAGUACUGUAUUAUGACUUGCUGUUUGAGUUGUACAAAUUGACAUACUGAUUAGCUAUAGUUUUGCUGAUAAAUUAUGUACAGUGAUAGGAGUGCCUCAGAGCCAUGCCUCUGUCUAGUCGGUACAAACUAUAUUUCCCCUAUAGGAGGAGCUGAUGUAUUUUCAAAUUUAGCUGGAGCUUACGGCUGUGACCAAAAUAUGAGCUAUAGUAUUAUGAGCUAGUGUCUUAAAUACAGUCUUCCUAGCGUCAGAGAAUCGCCACAGGUUCUGUAGUUUUGGUUUCUGAACACACGUUGAGCCAACUGAUUUUGUCUAGGAUUCCUGGUUACUUGUAGUUAUUGUGCAAAGUUGGAAUACCCAGUCUGCCUUUGCGUGCUACUAGAAUGAGUCUUCUAUGUUGAAUCAUCACUGAUCCAUCUGCUUAUAUGUAUAGUGUUCUUCAUGGUUUAAGCAUCCCUGAUUUGUUUGUGUGUGCAUUUGACAGUUCAUGACUGUUCAUCAUAUGUACUGUGUUGAAUGACGAUCACUUUCAGUAUUACAAUUUGGCUGUUCUUCGUUCUGUUUAGUUGCAUUUUAUGGCUGUCUGUUGAUAAUUAUGAAUGUUAAAUGAAUGCCACCGUUCACCUUUAGCUCUUCUAUUUUGAAUCAUCAGACAAGCCAUGGCUUUUCACCUUUAGCUAUGUCUAGCAAAUUUGCUUUCUCUAUACCCCGUUCCUUUAGAUUGCUCUGUAGCUAGUGUCUUUAAGCGAUGCUAACCUUCUUGAUCGGGGUCUUCUUUCCGCCGGUUUUGCUCUGUUAAACUGUCUCUUUUGUUGACCAUCUCGAGCGAUGAAAUUGCUGGAUUACAUUGUCUGCUGGGGUUUGCUUAGGCAAGUACUCCCUCCGUCCCAUAAUAUAAUAUAUGAGUGUUUUUGACACUAAUGUAGUGUCGAAAACACACUAGUGUAAAAAACGCUCUUAUAUUAUAGGACGGAGGGAGUAUGUUUGAACAAGUUUCACUUUCCUUGUACGAGUGAGUAUUUAUUCCACACAACACGCUAACAUAUUACAAGCAAAAGAACCAAAAAGGUCUGGCAUAAACUCAAAACCGUACUCCUAUACAUACUGAAGAGAGGGCACUCUUCUUCCCCCUCCCCACUGAAAAAUACAAAUAAAGCCAACAACUUCUUAACAUCUAGGUCAAAGAAAAAAAAACCAACCCUGAGAAUCUGAACCAAUCUUCCCCGCUCCAGCCUCCCGGCGGGAGGCGGAGGGGGGCCAAAGAACUUAGAGGUGUAGAUAUCGCUGCCCUGCCUAUCGCCGACGACGAGGAGGAGGUUCGUCGACGAUCAUACCGUGUAGCUCUGGUUUAUUGUCUCGAUGUCGAGCCCCUUGAGCUUGACGACCGACUCGACGUGGCCCUUGAGCGUGUGCAGCUCCCUGAGCCUGGCCACCUCGGCCCGCUUGGCGGCCUGCUCGGCGAUCUCCGAGAGCUCGCGGUAGCCGUUGUUGUCGGUGUACAUGUCGGAGUUGCUGCUGCCUUGGUUGAGGCCGUGCAGCGUCCUCUGCGCCGUCGCCCACUGCGCCUCCCUCUCCACCUUGCCGUAGUCGUUCUUGUUGGUGAAGGCCGUCUGCGACACCAUUGUCAAUCAGUCAGUGAGAAUUCCUGCUAAUGGAAAUGGAGCUUGCAAAUGGAGCAAUGGAGAUGGUAGUGGCUUGCCUUGUUGUUGAUGUUGUUCCAGGCCCUGCCGCUGAGGGCGUAGCGGAUGAUGAACUUGAGGAUGUCGAGCGGGAUGUAGGUGACGACGGUGAAGGCCCAGAUGGAGAGCCCCCACCCCCACCCGAUCCCCUGCAUCUUGCAGAACUCCCAGUUGGCGUACACGGCGAUGCACGUCGCCAGCAGCUGCGCCACGAAGAAGGCGAUCACCAGCAGCGCCCCCGGCCGCUCCACGAACGACCAGCUCCGCGACCGCGUCACGAAGAUGAGCGCCUGGCUGAUGAUGCUCACCUGCAGGUACAGCGCCGCCAUCAUCUCCUUCUCGUUCUCCCGGAUCGACCGCACCCCGAACGUCUCCUGCAUCCAUCGUUCUCCCGGAUUUCAGCCAUCUUCUUAUGAUCAUUCAUGGCGGACAGUCGGAGGAAGAAGACGAGUAGGUAGGUACCGGGAAGAACUCGGUGUCGUGGGCGAGGUAGAAGAAGAGCACGGUGAUGAGGGCCAUGUAGGUGCCGAGGACGACGCCGGUGGCGAAGAUCUCCUUGAGCUUCCACGAGUCGGGGGUGGGCGACGGCUUCACGCGGUCCUUGGAGAUGGUCAUGAUGGUGCCGUCGUUGAGGAUGGCGAUGACGAGCACCAUGAAGGGCGCGAAGUCGAACUUCCACAGCAGCGCCACCAGCAUGAACCCGAGAACGAUCCGGAUGGUGAUGGACACGGCGUAGAUGGUGUAGUUCUUCAUCCGCUGGAAGAUGGCGCGGCUGGUGAGCACCGCGCUCACGAUCACGCUCAGCCCGGGCUCCGUCAGCACGAUGUCCGACGCCGACCGCGCCGCGUCCGUCGCGUCGUCCACCGCGAUCCCGAUGUCCGCCUUCUUCAGCGCCGGCGCGUCGUUCACGCCGUCCCCGGUCAUGCCGCAGAUGUGCUUCCGGUCCUGCAGCCGCUUCACGAUCUCGUACUUGUGCUCCGGGAACACCCCGGCGAACCCGUCCGCCUUCUCGAUCAGCUCGUCGAUGGGGAGCCCGCUCAUCUCCGUGCUCUUGUCGCCCAGCAGCGUGGUGGACGGGUACAUGUUGGUGCCCAUGCCCAACCGCCGCGCCGUCUCCUUGCCGAUGGCCAGCUGGUCGCCGGUGAUCAUCUUCACGUUCACGCCCAGGUGCAGCGCGCGCCGGAUCGUCUCCGCGCUGUCGUGCCGCGGCGGGUCGAACAGCGGCAGCAGCCCCACGAACUGCCACGGCUCGCCGGGGCUGUCCUUGUUCUUGGCCGGCACCGCCUGGUACGACACGCCCAGCGACCGGAGGCCCCGGUCGGCGUACUGGUCAAUCAGGCCGUGGACCCUCUUCUCGGCCUCCUUGGGCAUCCGGCACAGCUCGAUGAUCUGCUCCGGCGCGCCCUUGCUGAUCCGGUGCCAGUCGCCCUUGCCGUCGAUGUAGGUGAUGGCCGUGCGCUUCUCCACGGGGUUGAAGGGGAGGAAGUGCACCUCCUGGAUGCCGGCGCGGGCCUCCUUGGCGUCGGCGAGCAUGCCGACGAUGCACGUGUCGAUGGCGUCCUGGUUCUCCACGCGGGACGCCCUGGCGGCGUAGAGGAGCACCGUGUCCUUGUCUAUCCCUUUGCCGUACACCUCGAUGAGCGUCUUGUCGACGGUGAGCUUGUUGAGCGUGAGGGUGCCCGUCUUGUCGCUGCACAGAACGUCCAUGCCGGCCAUCUCCUCGAUGGCGGUCAUGCGCUUGGUGAUGGCGCCCUGCUGCGACAGCCGGUGGGAGCCGAUGGCCAUGGUGACGGACAGCACGGUGGGCAUGGCGAUGGGGAUGCCGCCGAUGAGGAGCACGAGCAGGUUGUCGAUGCCGUCGCGGUAGGCGCGGUGCUGGAUCGGGUACAUGACCACCACCUCCACCAGCAUCCCGGCGGCGAUGGAGAUGAUGCAGAAGUUGCCGAUGGCGGUGAGCACCUGCUGGAAGUGGCCGACGUUGUUGGUGCUGUCGACGAGGUGCGCCGCCUUGCCGAAGAAGGUGUGCACGCCGGUGGCGAUGACGACGGCCUCGAUCUCGCCCUGCUUCACCGUGGACCCGGAGAAGACGCCCUGGCCGGCGUGCUUGUUCACGGCCAUGGACUCCCCGGUGAGCGCGGCCUGGUCGACCUUGAGCGGGUCGCCCUCGAGCAGCCGGGCGUCGGCGGGGAUGAUGUCCCCGAGCUUGAUGCUGAUGACGUCGCCGGGGACGAGGAAGGAGGCGUCCAUCUCGCUCCACUUGCCGUCCCUCAAGCACUUGGUCUUGGGCGCCAGCCCGGCCAUGAGGGCGGCGGCGGCGUUCCCGGCGUUGUUCUCCUCGAUGAAGCUGAUGGUGGAGUUGAUGAAGAGCAGGGUGACGAUGCCGACGAAGUCCUGCCAGUCGGGGGGCUUGCCGCCGCCGUUGGCGAGCACGAUGGCCAUGACGGCGGCGGCCUCCAUGACCCACGACAGCGGGUUCCACAUGAAGCCGAGGAACUUGAGCAGCUUGCUCUCCGUCUUCUCCUCCAGCUUGUUGGGCCCGAAGAUGGUGAGCCGGUUCUGCGCCUCCGUGCCGGUCAGCCCCUGCUUGCUGCACUUGAGGUGGGCGAACACCUCCUGCACCGGGAUGGUCUCCAGGUCCACCGUCUCGUUCUUCACGUCCUCCAGCGUCAUGGACGCCAUGGCGCCGGCCUGCUGCCUCGCGGCCUCCGCCGGCCUCGCCCGCUCCUUCUUGGCCGCCUUGCUGCCCUGGCGUGUGCGUGGGUGGGAGUGGCCGCGCGCGCGCGGGGAGGGGAGGGGAGGAGAGGGGAGGGGAGGCGCGCGCUGCUGCUGCUGGUGCUGGUGGUCUGCGGCGGCGGCUGGUGGGCUGAGCUGUGGUGUGCUGGUGGCGCGCCGAGCAAGCUGGGAGCGAGUGGGGGGUUAGGAGUUCAUGGAUGGGGAGGAGGGAGGGAGGGAGGGGGGAGGUGGCGGUCCGUGCGGUGCUUGAAGAAGACGAGGAGGGGGGCGGGCGGGCGCCCCAGGAUCCUUAUACCGCGCCACCGGGCUCGCCGCGGGCGGGGGUAGCUCACUGCCGCACGACCGGUCCACGCCGCAUGCAGCGGCCCCGAGCUCCCAUCGCGCGACCCGCGCGGCUCACCCCUGCUCUUCUCCCUUCAUGCGCUUGCUGCUGUCCAGUGCAGUGCAGUGCAGCGCACACACAGCUGGGUUUUUCUUCCACUAGUUACGAGCGAGGCACCGCCACCAUCACAUAGCCCACACCUUCACAUGCACAUCUUUUCUCUUUUUUAUUUAUAACAUGGUAAAGUCGUUUUAGAAUGUUGCGGGGAGUUCUUUGGGUAAUCUGGAACAGUCUUGCUAAAUCUCAGUCAACUGAGAAUUGAUGUCGAUGCUAUAUCCGUGAGAUCUUGCAUUAAGAUCCGUGCAAAAUUUUUGUUUUAGCUUUUCCUUUUUCUUUCUUGUAUGUUAUGCCACUUGACUUAGACUUGGUUGGAUCUCAGUCGACUGAGACCUAACCACACCCACUCUAAAAAGGCAAUGUCCUUAUUUGAUCUUUGCCAGAACUGGAUCCCAAAAAACCUACUCCCUUCGUCCGAAAAUACUUGUCGGAGAAAUGGAUGUAUCUAGAUGUAUUUUAGUUCUACAUAUAUCCAUAUUUAACCAUUGCUCCGACAAGUAUUUUGGGGCGGAGGGAGUAUAUUGGUAAAGAUCGUGCCGGUUGUUUCCGUUGGUGUGCUGCUUUACUUUGGUCGUUAUGAAAAACUAGAAAUAGAUCUUGUUUUCAAAGCAGUUUAGCUAAAGAUCCUACCGAUAUAAUCUUUAUUCUAUAUUCUAUGCUCUCUGUUGAAUAUUUGGGUUGUUCUUCAGAAAAUAUGAGUGAUAAACAUCUUAGGGAAGUGACUAAGAGGCUGACCUAAGUGGCGUGCGAUGUCUAUGGUGGUGCUCAUGGCUGGGCGCGACUGUGAUGAGAAUCUACGCAAUCUGUUCCGUCAGUGUGGCUCUUCAGUUUGUCUAAUUUUAGGCUUUUGUUGUUCUGUGUUUAGUGGUGUUGGGAGGUUCUUGGUGCUUAGUAGUAGAAGCUUCUUUCCCCAGUAUGUCCUCCCGUGGUUCCGAGAGAGCAUUCUAUAGAUAUAGCUAGAUAUUUAAGGAUGCAUGCUGUCAUUUUUUAUGUUGCAAUCUAUUGCAUCAGUUAAGUGUAAAAAGUUGUUGGUUGCGUGAUGUAUAGCUCCAUUUUCAUCGUGUUCAUUGGGAGCCAACCGGCUUGGACGGAAUAGCCGAUGGAAACGAGGCCUGACGUACCGCAGAACGGAGGAAACGGCCUUGUGUUCGAUCGGCCACGAUCGAAACAGGAUCAUGUUCAUCGGGAGGGGUCUUGCGUACCGCAAAACGGAGGAAACGAACUUCUCUUGGACCUCCUACGGUCGAAACGGGGUCCUGUUGAUCGGGAGGGGUGAGGGAGUCCUGAUUUACGGGCUCCUCGGGCGUCCGGGCUAUGUGACAUGGGUCGGACUGAUGGGCCGUGAAGGUACGAGAUGGAAGGCUUUCCCCGAGUCCGGAUGGGACUCUCUUUGGCGUGGAAGGCAAGCUUGGCGUGCGGAUAUGAAGAUUCCUUUCUCUGUAAACCGACUCUGUACAACCGUAGCCCCCUCCGGUGUCUAUAUAAACCAGAGGGUUUAGUCCGUAGAGAUCAUCAUAAUCAUACAGGCUAGACAUCUAGAGUUUAGCCACUACGAUCUUGAGGUAGAUCAACUCUUGUAACCCCUAUACUCAUCAAAGUCAAUCAAGCAGGAAGUAGGGUAUUACCUCCAUCAAGAGGGCUCGAACCUGGGUAAACAUCGUGUCCCCUGCCUCCUGUUACCUUCGAUCCUUAGACGCACAGUUUGGGACCCCCUACCCGAGAUCUGCCGGUUUUGACACCGACAUUGGUGCUUUCAUUGAGAGUUCCUCUGUGGCGUCAACAACAGGGAUGAUGGCUCGCCUUGUCAUCAAGGACAAUAUCACUUCCGGAGGAGCCCUAGUUUCAGGGCAAACCCUCCGGCUCGGCAGCUUCACCUUGGGUGCCCGUCCGGCCGUUAAGCCAAAGGCAACCCCCCGAGUCGCCGAAAACCAUCUCCGUAUCGGCCCCGAAUACUCCGACAAGAUGGAUCCAGCAGAUCUAUCGUCUUUGAACGAGCUGCUAGAUCGCAUCGCCGCCCUGGGGGUCUCAACCGACUAUGAUCGGAUCAGGCUUAAACCCGAUUAGAGAGAAAUCAAAUCUCCACCAAUCACCCAUCAGGUAGCGGUUGUGGAGGAACAAGCCGACAAUGACUCUUCUCCUACGUUGAGGACAAAUUAUGUUCAGAUUUCCGAGUCUAGAGAGCCGGACACCCAUCUUCGGGAGGACACCCCUUGUCCUCCGAACACAAAAUCGGACGUAAAGCCUGAUAAUUCACUACACUCUGGAGCCCGGGCGGCAACCCCAGAAAUUCUUCAAACUCCGGAUUCCACAGUGGGUCAGGGUGCGAAUUUAAGCCCGCCCACCCACCACAAGCAAUAUUCGCCAAGCAAUUCUGGCCCUCCAGACAUAUGUGACCUAAUGUAUGUGCGACAGCAGCCUCUAGAGACAGUCCAUCACUUUUGGGCCAGAUUCCUCCUUGUUAAAAACAAGAUAAAAGACUGCUGCGACGACGACACAAUUUCAGUAUUUCGCAACAACUGUACGGAUGAGGGAAUCCUUGAUGCUCUCAACCGCCGUCGCGUACUGCACUUUGCAGAUUUGGCACACAUAGUGCAGAAGUACUGCGCAAUGGAAAGCGCCUGGAAAACUCAAAUCGCUUGCUGGGAACCGCAGGCCUUUAAGCCAUCUCCCGGACGAGCAAAAAGGACGCCCCCUCACGGGUCACCUGAUCGUCAUCCCAUAGACAAGAAGAUUAAGCCCUUUACGGGACAUAGAACUGUCUUCGAGGAAUGGCUCGAUGGGCCAUGUAAAAUAAACACGACGCCAAAUACCGAACCAACGCAUAGCCUAUGGGCAUGUUGGAUACUACGACAAGUGGCCAAGAGCGGCGAGGGUAUCCUCACCAACACUACUCGAGAGAAGUACUAUUUAGAGGACGACGAUCCUGAAGUACUCACGGUCUUCGAGACCUUCUCAUCAAAUAAUCGGCGCAUACGGGCGCUCCGCGACCUCGCCGAAGUCUACCAAGUAGUAGCAAUAAACCCUUGAAACGAUACGGCGAUUACUUUCAAUGCCGAUGAUUAACCCAGAUCCCGCUCAGUCCGGGCACCAGCCGCUCUGGUCCUAAACCCAAUCGUGGACGGCUUUCGGCUCACUAAAGUGCUAAUGGACGGUGGCAGCGGACUGAACCUCAUCUAUGAGGACACGCUCAAUAAAAUGCAAAUGGACAGGAGUCGCAUUGAGCAGAGCAAUACAUCCUUCAGGGGAAUCAUCCCCAACAAGGAAGCAAGAUGCUCAGGGAAAAUUAAAUUGGAUGUGGUAUUCGGCACACCAGAAAACUAUAGGUCCGAAGAGAUAAUCUUCCAGGUGGCUCCUUUCAACAGUGGAUAUCAUGCCUUGUUAGGGAGAGACGCAUUCAAGCUAUACCUCAUUACGGGUAUAUGAAGCUUAAAAUGCCCGGGCCCAAUGGUGUUAUCACUAUCUCCAGUGAUCCGGACAUAGCACUCCGCGCCGAAAAUAAAACUGCAUCCCUAGCCCUUGAGGCACUGUCCGAAGCCCUAGCGGUUGAAGAACUCACCGCUCUGCGCUCCACAGUGGAUAGGGACGACGUAAUUCUUGAUAAAAGGCCCAAAUCCACCUCUUUCAAGCCAGCUGACGAAAUAGUCAAAUUUCAAGUUUACCCGACGGAUCCCAAGAAAAUAGCUUCCAUUGGGGCACAGGUGGACCCGACGGUCGACGCUGCACUACGCGCGUUCCUGCGCGAGAACUGGGACAUCUUCGCCGGCACCCCUCGGAUAUGCCAGGAAUCUCACGCGCGCUGGCCGAACAUAGUCUCAACAUACUGAAGGGAUACAAGCCGUUCAAGCAAACGCUCCGGUGAUUUUCCGAACCCAAACGACAGGCUAUGGGGGAGGAGCUAGCCAAGCUAUUUGAAGCCGGGUUCAUCAGAGAGAUCAAGCAUCCGGACUGGCUAGCAAACCUGGUCAUGGUACCAAAGAAGGACAAAUCCUGGCGCCUGUGUGUCGAUUUCAAAGACCUUAACAAGGCCUGUGAUACGUCUCCAACGUAUCUAUAAUUUAUGAAGUAUUCGUGCUAUUAUAUUAUCUGUUUUGGAUGUUUAUGGGCUUUACUAAACACUUUUAUAUUAUUUUUGGGACUAACCUAUUAACCGGAGGCCCAGCCCAAACUGCUGUUUUCUUGCCUAUUUCAGUGUUUCGAAGAAAAGGAAUAUCAAACGGAGUCCAAACGGAAUGAAACCUUCGGGAGAGUUAUUUUUGGAACGGAAGCAAUCCAGGAGACUUGGAGUAGACGUCAGGGAAGCUUCGAGGAAGCCACGAGGCAGGGAGGCGCGCCCUACCCCCCUGGGCGUGCCCCCCACCCUCGUGGGCCCCCCCGUGGCUCCCCUGACCGACUUCUUUCGCCUAUAUAUGUCCAUAUACCCUAAAAACAUCGAUGAACACAAUAGAUCGCGAGUUCCACCGCCGCAAGCCUCUGUAGCCACCAAAAACCAAUCGGGACCCUGUUCCGGCAUCCUGCCGGAGGGGGGAUCCCUCACCGGUGGCCAUCUUCAUCAUCCCGGCGCUCUCCAUGAUGAGGAGGGAGUAGUUCACCCUCGGGGCUGAGGGUAUGUAUCAGUAGCUAUGUGUUUGAUCUCUCUCUCUCGUGUUCUUGAUUUGGCACGAUCUUGAUGUAUCGCGAGCUUUGCUAUUAUAGUUGGAUCUUAUGAUGUUUCUCCCCCUCUACUCUCUUGUAAUGGAUUGAGUUUUUCCUUUGAAGUUAUCUUAUCGGAUUGAGUCUUUAAGGAUUUGAGAACACUUGAUGUAUGUCUUGCAUGUGCUUAUCUGUGGUGACAAUGGGAUAUUCACGUGAUCUACUUGAUGUAUGUUUUGGUGAUCAACUUGCGGGUUCUGUGACCUUGUCAACUUAUGCAUAGGGGUUGGCACACAUUUUCGUCUUGACUCUCCGGUAGAAAUUUUGGGGCACUCUUUGAUGAAGUACUUUGUGUUGGUUUGAAUAGAUGAAUCUGAGAUUGUGUGAUGCAUAUCGUAUAAUCAUACCCACGGAUACUUGAGGUGACAUUGGAGUAUCUAGGUGACAUUAGGGUUUUGGUUGAUUUGUGUCUUAAGGUGUUAUUCUAGUACGAACUCUAUGAUAGAUCGAACGGAAAGAAUAGCUUCGUGUUAUUUUACUACGGACUCUUGAAUAGAUUGAUCAGAAAGAAUUACUUUGAGGUGGUUUCGUACCCUACCAUAAUCUCUUCGUUUGUUCUCCGCUAUUAGUGGCUUUGGAGUGACUCUUUGUUGCAUGUUGAGGGAUAGUUAUAUGAUCCAUUUAUGUUAUUAUUGUUGAGAGAACUUGCACUAGUGAAAGUAUGAACCCUAGGCCUUGUUUCCUAGCAUUGCAAUACCGUUUACGCUCACUUUUACCACUUGCUACCUUGCUGUUUUUAUAUUUUCAGAUUACAAAAACCUAUAUCUACCAUCCAUAUUGCACUUGUAUCACCAUCUCUUCGCCGAACUAGUACACCUAUACAAUUUACCAUUGUAUUGGGUGUGUUGGGGACACAAGAGACUCUUUGUUAUUUGGUUGCAGGGUUGUUUGAGAGAGACCAUCUUCAUCCUACGCCUCCCACGGAUUGAUAAACCUUAGGUCAUCCACUUGAGGGAAAUUUGCUACUGUCCUACAAACCUCUGUACUUGGAGGCCCAACAACGUCUACAAGAAGAAGGUUGUGUAGUAGACAUCAAGCUCUUUCUGGCGCCGUUGCCCGGGAGGUUAGUGCUUGAAGGUAUAUCUUUAUAUCUUGCAAUCGAAUCUUUUAGUUUCUUGUUUUAUCACUAGUUUAGUCUAUAAAAUAAAACUACAAAAAAAUGGAAUUAAGGUUGCCUCAUAUGCUUCAUCUUUUUAAUGUCUUUCGUGAAAAUGAUGGGAAGGAAAAUUGUGCUCAAGUACUAGAAGAAGAAUUACAUAGAAUGCUUGGCAUAAAAUAUGUGAAUGAUGAGCAUGGUUGCAAUGUUGUUAGUAUGAAUUCUUUGAAUACCCAUGAUGCUAAUGAUAUGCAAAGCCACAAGCUUGGGGAUGCUAUGUUUGAUGAAGAUGAUAUGUUUAGUCCCCCAAGUUUUGAUGAGCAAAUUUAUUAUGAUGAAAGCAUGCCUCCUAUUUAUGAUGAUUAUUGUGAUGACACGUAUGUUAUAAAGAAUAAAGAUAACCAUGAAACUUGUCAUCAUGAUUUUAAUUUUCAAUUGGAUUAUGCCUCACAUGAUAGUUAUUUUGUUGAGUUCGCUCCCACUACUAUUGAUGAGAACAAAUUUGCUUUUGUGGAGAGUAAUAAAAUUUCUAUGCUUGUAGAUCAUGAAAAGAAUGCUUUACGUGAUAGUUAUAUUUUUGAAUUCAUUCAUGAUGCUACUGAAAAUUAUUUUGAGGGAGGAAUAUAUGCUUGUAGGAAUAGCAAAAAUAUCAACUUUCCUCUCUAUGUGCUUAAAGUUUUAAAGUUAUGCUUUUUUUGCCUUCCUAUGCUAGUUGAUUAUUGUUCCCAUAAGUUGUUUGCUCACAAAAUCCCUAUGCAUAGGAAGUGGGUUAGACUUAAAUGUGAUUGCCAUGUGUUUUAUGAUGCUCUCUUUAUGUUUCAAUUCUUAUCUUUUAGGUGAGCAUCAUUGAAAUCAUCAUGCCUAGCUAGGGGCGUUAAACGUUAGCGCUUGUUGGGAGGCAACCCAAUUUUUAUUUUUGUUCCUUGCUUUUUGUUCCUGUUUAGUAAUAAAUAAAUCACCUAGCCUCUGGUUAUAUGUGGUUUUAUGUUUUAAUUAGUGUUUGUGCCAAGUAAGACCUAUAGGAUCUUCUUGGAUGAUAAUUAUUUGAUCUUGCUGAAAAAAUCAGAAACUUCCUUCUCACGAAAACAAUUGUUAAAAAUCACCAGAACGUGAUAAAAUACUGAUUCCAAUUGCAGUAGAUCAAUAAACAAAUUAUCUAGGUCUUCCUAUUUUGGUAGAAUUUUCGAGUUACAGAAAGUUUGCGUUUGAUACGGAUUACUACAGACUGUUCUGUUUUUGACAGAUUCUGUUUUUCGUGUGUUGUUUGCUUAUUUUGAUGAAUCUAUGGCUAGUAUCGGAGGUUAUGAACCAUAGAGAAGUUGGAAUACAGUAGGUUUAACACCAAUAUAAAUAAAGAAUGAGUUCAUUACAGUACCUUUAAGUGGUGGUUUGUUUUAUUUCGCUAACGGAGCUCAUGAGAUUUUCUGUUGAGUUUUGUGUUGUGAAGUUUUCAAGUUUUGGGUAAAGAUUCGAUGGAAUAUGGAAUAAGGAGUGGAAAUAGCCUAAGAUUGGGGAUGCCCAAGGUACCCCAAGGUAAUAUUCAAGGACAACCAAAAGCCUAAGCUUGGGGAUGCCCCAGAUGGCAUCCCAUCUUUCGUCUUCGUUCAUCGGUAACUUUACUUGGAGCGUAAUUUUCUUUUGUUAGUAUUUGCUUGAUGUUAUUUAGAAUAAUGUUUUGCAUCUCUCUUUUCAAUAAAAAUGUCAAGGAUAGCUUUUACCAUGCUUAUUUUGCAAGUAUACAUGUUGCUGUUUCAAAACAGAAAGUUUAUCGCUGUUGCAAAAAUUCCCUAGAAAAGCCAGAAUAUGAUAAAAUGUUGAAAAUUUUGCAUAAUAAGCUCUGAUAAAUUUUCUACAGUGUGGUAGAAUUUCAUAAUGUUUGGAGUUAGGGAAGUAUGAUGAAUCUUGCAUUCUUUACAAACUGUACUGUUUUGGCAGAUUGCUGUUAUGUUUGCAUUGUUUGCAUAUGUUUGCUUAUUUAAUGAUUCUAUUGGAGGAUAGGAGUAUUAAAUAUGCAGAGACAUUUAGUAUGCAAUGUUGAAAUAAUAAUUUUAGUGAUUUGUUACAGUAGAGAAUGAUAAGGUUUUUGCAUUGGUUUAUACUAACUUAUCUCACGAGUUCUUGUUGAGUUUGGUGUGGAUGAAGCUUUCGAGAUUUAGGAAACCGUGAUAUAAAAGGAAUUAAGGAGACACAAAAGCUCAAGCUUGGGGAUGCCCAAGGCACCCCAAGAUAAUAUUUCAACAAGUCUCAAGCAUCUAAGCUUGGGGAUGCCCCGGUAGGCAUCCCACCUUUCUUCUUCAACAAUUAUCGGUUAGUAUUGGUUGAGCCUAAGUUUUUGCUUCUUCACAUGAUGAGUGCUAUCCUUGAAAUGUCGUUUUAUUUUGUUUUGCUUGCUGUUUGAAUAAUAUCCCAAGAUCUGAAAUUCUUAAAUGAGAGAGAGUCUUCACAAAGCUACAUAAUUAUUUAACUAUUCAUUGAUCUUCACUUGUAUCUUUUGUAGCGACCAGACCCCAAACAGUCUAAUCUUUGUGCAUCAGUGUCAUCCCUGGAUCGGUAAUGCUGACACGCACAGUACUUGAAGGAUUUAUAACAGAGUAGCAAUCACACACUUAUUACAUCGAAUGUCUCAAAAGAGAACUUAUUACAAUAAAUAUGGCUUAAGGCCAUCUAAUACGAUAACAGCGGAAGGCUUGGAAGAUAAAGUGAGUCCAUCAACUCCAACGGCAUCACUGAGUGAAAGACCACGACCUAAGGCUCCUUACUCGUCGUCUGGAAAGUCUGCAACAUGAUACGUUGCAGCCCGAAAACGGGUCAGCACAUGGAAUAUGCUGGCAAGGUAACACAAGAGAGUAAUGAACAGAAUAAAGCUAUCACUAUAUGCAUAUACGGCUGGUGGAGGCUGUAAGGUUAAUAUGUUUUGCGAAAAGCCAAUUUUUUCCUACAACAAAGGAAUAAAUUUUAUUUAACUACAAGGUUGGUUGAAAACAUUGAGAAUGGUAAACCCCAUCUCAAUCCCAAUUAAAAGGUAAUUAAUAACCCAACAAAAUUAAUUUUAUAUGGAGUGAUGAGAUCCACAUGAUAAUCCAAGAACCAGAUACUCAAGUUGUCCAUAACCGAGGACACGGCUAACCAUGAUUAGUUUGUACACUCUGCAGAGGUUUGCGCACUUUUCCCCACAAGACUCGAUCUCCUCCUUUUGAUUUCUCGCACUACAUGAUGUUUGAGAAACAGAUGACCGAGACACAGUCUUACCGAAGAGGUCCCCUUAACCGAUAGAUAGGCCUGUACACCUACAAUCCCCUACAUCUGCUAGCCCAUCAUGGAAAGGUUUCCCACAACUUACUCAACUAUGCUAGAGCCCAUAAUGGCAUGUGGCUGCACACAGAAGUUUCUAGCAUAAAUAAUCCUAUGAUCCCUUUGAGCCUGAGUGGUAGUCCAUAGGAGAAUCACACGGUACCCCGGGAUUUCCAAAAAUACAGACAACACUAGGUUCCCCAGGUGCCUUAGUCCACCCAAAUGUGUAUUUAAGUUGCCACCUUACGUUAAACCAUUAAGUAAACAAUCUCACAUCUGUCAUGGAAUACACUCAAACCCAAUCCACGUCUACGAGCAUAGCAUAGCAAUAUAAGCAACGUAGAAGUAACUCCCAUAGGUUUGAUAAUAAACAGGUGAAUAGGUACUACCUCAUCUACUUCCCAAUACCCACAAUUUAAUCAGAUCCUAACCAUGCAAUUGUUUGAGGAUUGGUCUAAUGCAAUAAAACUAGGUAGUAAAGAGGGUAUGAUCAAAGUGUUACUUGCCUUGCUGACGAUCCGCGAAACCUAGAGACUCGUAGUAGCACGCUUCGCACUCCGGGUACUCUAUCGCAAACAAACAAGCAUACAAUAAGCAAUCAAGCAAAGAGCACGGGUAAAACUCAAAUAAGAAAGUCUAACCAGAAAGUUCAACUUAAGAACUCCGGUUUGCAAAAAAAGAAUCAAAUAAAACAAAGCAAGAAAACUCAAACGGCGAAAGAAACAAGCUUCGUUUACUAAUCUGGACUAAAGUCAAAUUUUAUAGCAGCAAAAACUUGUUUAAGUUGAUUAAACAGAAAGAGGGUUUCGAGACGAAACUCUAGGCGCUUGAAUCGCCUGAUUCCGAUAAACGAGCGAAAAGAUAAACUAAAACAAAAAUCAGGUUAGAAAUCGCGAUCGAAAAUAAUCGCGGAAAAUCCGAGAAAAAGAAAAACUGACGAACAGACUAACGAACGAACGUUCAUUGUCUGCGGAUAAACGGUGAAAACCGUCUGUUAAAACGAAUGAACGAAUGGGCGUUCGCUAAUUAACUAAACAAAAAAAUGAUCUAACAAAAAACGCAUCUAGGGUUUUUACCGAAAAACCGAACCGGCCAAAGAAAACCGGCGGCGGCGGCGGCGAACUCCGGCGACGGCGGCGGGGUGGCGAGGCGACGGCGCNNNNNNNNNNNNNNNNNNNNNNNNNNNNNNNNNNNNNNNNNNNNNNNNNNNNNNNNNNNNNNNNNNNNNNNNNNNNNNNNNNNNNNNNNNNNNNNNNNNNNNNNNNNNNNNNNNNNNNNNNNNNNNNNNNNNNNNNNNNNNNNNNNNNNNNNNNNNNNNNNNNNNNNNNNNNNNNNNNNNNNNNNNNNNNNNNNNNNNNNNNNNNNNNNNNNNNNNNNNNNNNNNNNNNNNNNNNNNNNNNNNNNNNNNNNNNNNNNNNNNNNNNNNNNNNNNNNNNNNNNNNNNNNNNNNNNNNNNNNNNNNNNNNNNNNNNNNNNNNNNNNNNNNNNNNNNNNNNNNNNNNNNNNNNNNNNNNNNNNNNNNNNNNNNNNNNNNNNNUAGGGUUUCGGAAGGGUCGGGCUGGUGGGCUGCGGCCUCGGCCUCGGCGGCUUAUAAAGCCCCCCCGGGCGGAGUCCCGGGCGAGUACGACCCAAAGUCGGUUUCCCUUUUUUUUUAAAUUAUUCCGCGCAGAAAAAUGAAUAAAAGAAAUACUAAGCGGACUCCAAAAAUCCUGAAAUAAAUUUUCCUUGUCCUCUAAAAAUCUACCGGACAAGGUGAACAUUUAUUUGGGACUCUAAUGCAAUUUUGAAAAACGCAUAUUUUUCCUAAUUCAAAUAAAAUAGCGAUGAAAAUCCGAAUAAAAUUCUUAUUUGAUUUUAAUAUUAAAUCUCCACUAUUUCUUUAGUUUGAGGAAGUCAUUUUAUCCUCUCUCUUUUAUUUUCAUAAAAUAAAUAUUCGAAGAGAAAAUAAUUAAAAUCAAACGAUCGUCUUUUCAAAAUUCGAGAAAAACUCAAAUAUGAAAAUAACGAAAUUCCCAACUCUCUCCGUGGGUCCUUGAGUUGCGUAGAAUUUCUAGGAUCAAACCAAAAUGCAAUAACAUAUGAUACGCAAUGAUGAUCUAAUGCAUAACAUUCCAAAUUGAAAAUUUGGGAUGUUACAUCUUUUUGGAGUAGUUUGUCAUUUACUCGUGUGCUUCACUUAUAUCCUAUGAGUAAAUAGUUGAAUGAUUUGAAUAUCAUAAAUCUGAAAUUAUAUAUGUUUCAUAUGCCCUUCCCAUGGGGAGUAAUGCCUUCACAUAUAAGAAGUAGAGGUGGUAAAUUUAUUGAAGGUUAGAAAACAUUGUAUUGGUUCACUUGAAUAAUUCAUGAAAGAAUAUUGAAGGAAGAGAGAUUUCACAUAUAAAUAUACUAUCUUGGACAUCUUCUAUGAUUGUGAGCCCCAUUAAUUAUUUUCAAACCUGAGCAAAUUAGUUGAAGUUGGACAAGGAAGACAAUAUAAUGAGUUAUGCUUGGGUAUAUUUGUAUAGAAGUUAUAUUGUUAUGGAUCCUCUAACAUGUGGUGCUUGCUAUUUAGAAUCCUUUGCUAGCCAAAAUAUCUGUACUAAUCGGGAAUACUGCUUGUGCAUCCAAAAUCCUUGAACCAAGUUCCUUCCAUGAGUGUCCACCAUAUCUACCUAUAUGCGGUAUUUACCUGCCAUUCCAAGUAAAUUUGCAUGUGCCAAACUCUAAACUUUCAAAUAAUAAUCUGUUUUGUAUGCCCGAAUCGCUCAUGUAGCGACUAAGGGCUGUCAGUAUCUUCCAUGCUAGGUGGGUUAUUCUCACGAUGAGUGGACUCCACUCAUCAUUCACGAGAAAAUGGCUGGUAAAUGGGAUGCCCAGUCCUAUGAUCAAAAGAUCAAAAACAAAAUCGCAAAUAAUUUAAACAAACUCCCCCAGGAUUGUUGAUACACUACAAGAAAUAUGUCAACUUGUGACCCUCACUAUUGGCCGCUGAAAGGUCAUAGUUUUUCAUUUGCGACCUUUUUUGACCAAAAACAGAAGGUCAAAAGCUGGCAGUCGUAAACUGAAAUUAACGACCUUCUGUAAAAGGUCGUUGGUUCUUCGACCAAAAUUUUGGUCACUAGCAGCCUCCCCAGACCACGUAGGCAUCCAGCGUGCCAAGCUGAUGUGGCACAAGAAUCAGCCUGGUCCAAUUCGGUGUUUAUUUGGGCCGAGCCCAUUAAUUCAUCCCAUUUAUAUAUUUUUUCCUAUGAAUUUUUUGUCAGCUUCAUGGAACAAGCCCAACAUUGCAGCCUUUUUAUUUUUGGGCCAUGGCCUUUUUAUCUCAACAGUUUCAUUUUUUCCUUUUUUAUAAAGUGGGUUCACUAGUUAGGUGGGUCCCCAUUGUCAGGUUAUAGUACUGGGUCCUAGCCAUCAGGGCAAUAUUCUUCAAUUUUUUAAUUUAACGCAAAUAAAUACCUAGUAUUUAAAUUGGCACACAGAACACACGAAAUACUUCAAAUAUUAUCAACCAUCAAAGCGUUACAUCAUAUAACACACAUACAAAUGUGAUCAGCAUCAAGUUUACAAUCAGAUAACAAGCUCCACAAGUGUACAAUCACAUGAGCCAGAUUCUGCUACAUCAUAUAACACACAUACAAAUAGGAGCAGCAGAAAGGGCUUCAUUACUCUCAGAACUAGCUCCAAUGAGCUAGAACUAUUCUUCCUCCGACUUCUUUGUCCUGAUGCUCACGAAGAAACAUGAAAGCCAGCAUCUGCAUGUUACAGAACAAAAUGUUUAGGAACAAAAUAUAAGUAAAUCUAACAGCAUAUUUAACAAUAAAUAACAGAAUAAUGAAGUUAAUGAGACAUUUUAGAAUCAACUUGACAGUUGACUAUAAUGUUUGCAUUGGACACAUCCAAAACUAAAAUUAUACAUAAAUGCCUAAAUUCCAAUGCCCAAUGCCUCAGUUUAGUAAACACUAAGGGUACAUAGUAAAGAUUUGACACAACCAGAACUGAAAUCAUUUACUCUAUCAAGCAACAAUGAUGCAGCACACAAGAAAAGAGAGAUGCACAACGGAGCAGCAUCGUAUAUGACACAAUAUGGACACUGCAAGCUCACCGAAGAACUUGUGGUCGCCACCGUACACAGCCGCCAUAACGCCGGUCACCUCGUUGAUCUUGUCCUUGAAGUUCUCUAACUCCAGGUUGUUCCACUGCAGCUCGGUAUUUGCUCAACCGUAUGUGUACAUGCAUCAGGGCAUACAUAAAAUAUUCAAGUCAAUAUUCUCAGCUAACUGUGAUGUAAUGAAAAUAAUUACUUAAGGACUUGGGGUAAAAAUUGAUUUUAGACAUCAAAAUUUGCAGUGCUCAUUUCAACCAUGUUCAGAUAAACUUGAGGUAAAUUAGCAGUAAUGAUAUUAGUUGCAAGCUAGGUGUGUAACUGUUGUCAACACCACCACCACCAGAGACACUCAAGAUAAGCAUCAACACCAACAUGAUCUUGAUAUUAGCCACCCCAUAUCACCAGAGCAUCAUAGGAGCAUAUAUAUAAAGCAAGUACACAUGGGCAGCUACUGACAGACCCUAGAACCGCAUGAAUUUAUCACCAGAGAGCUCCAGUAGGAGUUGAUGCUUGGUUACAACAUCUAGCAGCAACUAGUAGAGCCCCACAUCCAACCCAAAUCAUGGCCAAGGCCAUGCAGGAGCUACAUCAGAGAAGAAGGAACAGGGAGGAGCUCACCAGAGGGAGGUUGUAGCCGUAGCAGAGGCUCAGCCACACCACGGCUGCUGUGGAUGGUGACUCCAGGACAGCAGAGUAACAACAACGAUUCAGACUUGUUCCUCCAUGAGCAUGAGCUGCUGCAGAUGGAGCUCCUCCUCCUAGGCUUGUUGGCCCCAUCCUGCUCGUCACCAAUCGAUGUGCCGUCCCUGUGGUUGUGGAAUAGGAGCGCAUCAGGAAACCAAGGAAGAGAAGAUCAAAUCAUUUUUAUAUACACCCGUCUAAAUACACCCCACUAAAUACACCCAUCUAAAUACGUCCCGUGGUUAUGUUCAUAAUCAGAUCAGACAUUGAAUGAAACAAAAAUACACCCCACUGAUGAAGCCGCAAUAAUUGUCUUGGAUGUAUCCAUCACAGCAAUAAACAAGCACCAUAUUUCGCCAAAUCUCUAUUCUAUAAACAAUUUUCUCUGGACGAACUAUUCAAACCACCCAUCUAAACAAUACCGCAUCUGUCGUCACUCAAGUCAAUAAUACUCGUUGACAGGUCCACCAUCCAACACAAGGAUAAGAUACAGAAUUGGUGCAUCAUUUCAGGCAGCGCAAGCAAACUAAACAAAACAGCUUAAACCCUAGAUAAAUCUUAUGGCCGGUUGGGGGAAAGCAGAAACGGAAGAAGUACUAGAUUCAAAUUGCACAUUCAGUCAAGUUUAGUCAAUACAUGUAUGACACAGCCAUGCAUGACACAAACAAAAUAUACAGUUCAUCUCCUGAUCCACAUUACAAUCCAAGGCAAAGUACUAGUAAAUAAAAUAGUACGUACUCUGGUGACCACCGAGCUAGCUGAUUACCAGUUUACCACACUGAUUAUGACAGGAACAGAAACGAAAGGGAACUACUAAAUAAGAUAGGAACGGAAGGGUGCGGUGUUGAUUUUGAUCACCAGGAGAACAGAAGACCCGAAUCAAGGCAAACUCAUUGACUGAAGAUGAGGAAGCUAGCUAUGCAUGUAUGCAGUGUGAAUCGGCUGGCCUUAAACCACAGAGAAGAGUAGGCAUGUUAAUUAAUAAGAGUCCUAAAAGGCUAAAAUAGAGAUGGCCGUCAGAAUAAAUCCUUUCCUUGUUUCAAGAGAAAAGAAACAAAAAGAAAAGGGUGAAGUGAAAGCAUCUGCAAAAGAAAAUUCGCAUGCAUACAGUGGCGUCUGCAUCAAUCAAGAUUAUUAAAGCUUGCAGCAGAGUGAGUACGCAUGAAGGUUUAGCGCUAACAUUGCCCAGCCGACCGUCGAUCUCUCUGCAGAAACAAAAGAAGAGCUACAUCAGCAACAGCAUGCAACAUAUUUCAGGUUGAUUGGAACCAAAACAAAGCAACAUGAGAAGCAGGCAGCAUAUAACAGGCUAGACGAAAGCAACAUAUGGAUGAAUGAAAUGGAGCGUUGUGUAUAUCAAGAUGUAAUCAAAGCUGAACCCAAAUGAGAUGAUUCUGGUUAGCCAUCGAUCUCCUUUACACUUCUUAUAAGUGGGAUAGGGGAACAAACCACAAGGCUACCUACGUCCGGCCUUUGUCCGGCCUUUGUUCAGGUGAACCCAAAUAUAUGACUGAAUGUAUGAUUGAGAAUGUGCAUGUACAGUGAGACCAACAAAUAUUCCACUGAUUUCUGACAGAUAUGUGUACAUAUAUUCCAAUGUGUUUGUACAAUACUAGAGCAUAACUGAAUUUUGACAGAACACAUAUAUGAAGUGAACUUUAGCACUGAAUUCUGGCCAGUACAGCAGUAAUUUUGCACAAGCAUGUAUGAACUGAACAGACAAAUAUUAUAACUAAACCUUUGCCAAUACAUCACUUCUUCACAAAGAUAUAUGAAGUAAACUGAACACAGAUAGAUCCUAACUGAACUCUUGACAGUACAGCAACAUGAUAAGUUCUGAAGAAGAAUAGUAUAGACGAUGCUCUCUAUUUCUUCACCAUUGCACAUCAAGAACAUGGAACGGAGCUUAGACUUGCGGAUGCGGGCAGCCGGGUAACCGCACGAGGAGCAGGUGCUCUUCUGGAGGUGGAAGCUGCGACGGCCGUAGCGGAUGCAGAGCGUGUGGGAGAGAGGGCCUCUCUGGGAGGGAGGGGAGGAUCUUGGCGCAGCGGCGGGGACCUGUUGUAUCUGGUCGACGAGGUUGCAAGAUCCGAGGCGGAGCUUCUGCUGGUGGCGUCCAUGGCCUUGGCCGGAGCUCCUAUUCAUUCCCUGUGAGACAGAGAGGCCGCAAGGUGACGGAGAGGGAAGGAAAAGGCAGAGGAUGAGGAGGAGGGGAUGGGGACAAGACGAACCUCGCCAAGGACGUCGGGGAAGAGAGGGUGGAGACGCGUGCUGGGGGGUGGGUCACGCGAGGAGCACCAAAUCCGGACGCGUGCUGGGGGGUGGAGACGGUGCAACGGCCAGAGGAGCUGCUCAAUCCAGAUGGGCGACUGCGUCCCGGAUCUCACGGGAGGAGGGGCUAUGCGCCGCCCUGAUCCCGGAUUCGGCGGCCUCUAGCCUCGCCGUCGCCAUCGCCGGUGGCUGCUCUGGCUGGCGCCAUGGGUGGUGGCUGGGUCUGGAUCGGGGAGAGGGAGGUGGAGGUGGCGGCGGCAGGGAGGAGCGGAGCUCUAGGGUUCGGGCAAGAGGGAGAGAGGCUGGAUGAAUGGAUCGAUGGACGGAUGCUUUCUGCGGUGGGCUGUAUCAAUUGAUCGAUGGAUGGAUGUUUGCCACAUCACUGAUCCAUGCCACAACAGAUUCCACCAAUCAUAAUUCACCUUGCGUAGUUUUGUUUUUUCUUCUGUUUUUUAAUAUUUUGUACCCUCUUAUUCUGGGUAAACAUUCAACAUAUUACCGCUUAUAGUUUUUUCAAAUGACCCAAUAUUUUGCACAAGUGUGUAUCUUGGGACAACAAACAAUGUUGAUUUGAGGGGUUUUCAUUUUCUUUGCACAAAAAAUCAUUUUUCAAUUUUUGGAGUGCCAAUAAUCGGGUUUUUUGUGAAGGACGUACCAUAUAUUUGUUGCAAAAUUGGACCAAAUCAUUUUUCUAAAAUACUAGGUCAUUUUUAAUGCACAAUUGAUCAAAUGGUUGGGUGUCAAAAGAUUCAAGCCACCUCUCGUGAAAAAGACAAAUUUCAGCCGAUUCAGUAGGAAGUGGGUCAAAUUUGAACUGCAGCUGCCUCAUAGUUUGCUCACGAUUUUUUUCCAAAAAUCAUUUCUAGGUACAAAAGUAUCUAUUUCAUUAGAGAGACACAAAAAGUUUUCCAAGAUUCAACCACUAGCUAGGAACGGUCAUUCCCGCCGUUUUGACCGCAUUUUGAAACGGGCAUAAAAAAUUCAAAAAAUUGGGAAACCUUCGCAUUGUGUCAUUAUAUGUGGCCAAGUUCCCAGGAAAAAUAACAAACUUGUAAUACGACAAUUAUUUUAAAAAAUUGUUCUCAGAAACGAGCUAUCACGUGUGGAGAUCAAUGGCUUUCAAGCCAAAUGAUCAAUCUUAUGGCCACAUUCAUGGCAUAGUUUGUUCAAAUGAUCUCAUAUUGUGCACAAGGGUGCAUAUUGGAAUGGCAAACAAUGUUGCCUAAGUAAGUUUUCAUUUUCUUUGGACGAAAAAACCAUUUUCCAUUUUUCGAGUGCCCAAAAGGAGGUUUUUUGGUGAAGGACCUCCCAAAUAAUUGUUGCAAAAUUGGACCAAAUCAAUUUUCUAAAAUACUAGGACAUAUUUAAUGCACAAUUGACAAAAUUAUUGGGUGUAAAAAGUUUUGAUCCACCUCUCAUGAAAAAGACAAAUUUCCGCCGAUUCAGCUGGAAGCGGGUCAAAUUUAAACUGUAGCUGCCUUGUAGUUUGCUAUUUAUUUUUUCCAAAAAUCAUUUCUAGUUACAUAAGUACCUAUUAAAUCAGAGAAACACCAACAAAAAUCCAAGAUUCAACCACUAGCUAGGAACGGUCAUUCCCGCCGUUUUGACCGCAUUUUGAAACGGGCAUAAAAUAUUCAAAAAACUCAAAAAAUUGGGAAACCUUCGCAUUGUGUCAUUAUAUGUGGCCAAGUUCCCAGGAAAAAUAACAAACUUGUAAUACGGAAAUUAUUUUAAAAAAGUGUUCUCAGAAACGAGCUAUCACGUGUGGAGAUCAAUGGCUUUCAAGCCAAAUGAUCAAUCUUAUGGCCACAUUCAUGGCAUAGUUUGUUCAAAUGAUCUCAUAUUGUGCACAAGGGUGCAUAUUGGAAUGGCAAACAAUGUUGCCUAAGGAAGUUUUCAUUUUCUUUGGAGGAAAAAACCAUUUUCCAUUGUUCGAGUGCCCAAAAGGAGGUUUUUUUUGUGAAGGACCUCCCAAAUAAUUGUUGCAAAAUUGGACCAAAUCAAUUUUCAAAAAUACUAGGACAUAUUUAAUGCACAAUUGACAAAAUGGUUGGGUGUAAAAAGUUUUGAUCCACCUCUCGUGAAAAAGACAAAUUUCCGCCGAUUCAGGUGGAAGCGGGUCAAAUUUGAACUGCAGCUGCCUCAUAGUUUUCUAUUUAUUUUUUCCAAAAAUCAUUUAUAGUUACAUAAGUACCUAUUUAAUCAUAAAUACAUGGUUUGGUGCUGAUACGUCGAGGUUUGGGCGGUGGCCGAGGGCCCCAACUCUAGAGCGCGUAAACUCGCAUGCCCGCCGCGUGGUCACCGCGUGACCGUGGCGUUGCCAUGUGUUCUGGGCAGCCUAGGCAUGUCUAGUGGGUUGGGCACUCCCCAGGUAGGUGUUAGGAAGAAAAUUACAACAUAAGAUUCUCACGAGGAGACCGAUCGAUGCUCAAACAUGAAUUAGCAGCCAAGUGUUUGAUUAGCGGUACGGGAAAUGUACAUGGCUAAUGGGCGUGAGUUUUGGCUGAGGAUGAUCAAUUACUAAGAAGACCGUCUUCACAAAUUUACAGCUCAAAAGGAGGAUCCUAGGUGGUACUUGCUUUGCAAAGUACCACAUUGGACAUAAAUACGAAUGUUGAAGCUGGGCUCAAAAUAAUGAAUGGAUUGAGCUGGCAUUUGGUGGAGGAUGGUUAUUUGGGCAUAGGAAAGCACCGUAGAAAAUGGAUACUAUUUGGACAUGCCAAAGUGGUACUUCCUUCACAAAGCGUUGUUCUGAACAGAAUAGGAAAAUGAAUAUUGUUGAAUUAUUUUUGAACUAGGCAAGGAAGGUUUUUUUUACAUAUUUGACGAAGAUAUGACCCAAAGAAUUUAUGAGAUUUUUUUGGGAAUUUCGGGAAUGACAGAAAUAUAGGUUGCUUCACAACCUGGGGCAAAAAUUGCCACAUGGACAUGACACAUAGGCAAAACUGAUGAGGUGGCGCCUAGUCAUAGCAACCCACCACAAUUUACAAGGUUAUGACCAUCUAUAUUGGUCGUGAUCAGCUAGAAAUAAGGCAGCGGACCAGUGCUAUCUGCUUUAUGACCAUUUCAUGUAAGGAAAUUACGACCUUUCUGACCAAAAUGGUCGUUAUAGUUUAGGGUUUGGAGCCCCCCGAACAGCUUCUGACCAAUUGGUCUGAAAUGGUCAUAGAUCUAUGACCAAUUCUUCCAGGGUCACUGACAGAAGGUCACUAGUUGACAUAUUUCUUGUAGUGAUAGUUGGACAGCACCCGUUGUUUCGGACAAGCCGUGGAGUGUGAUUGUUGGUGGAGGGGGAGUAAAAUCUUUACCUUUCUGUUUGGGAACCGCCUAUAAUGUAUCUAGUAUGGAAGAUAUUGGGAACUCUUGGUCGUUAUGUUGACAAUGAAAGCAUACCUCUCAAAAUUAUUUUCAUCUCUGUUUUAGCUUCGAGCUCUGGCACCUCUGCAAAUCCCUGCUUCCCUCUGCGAAGGGCCUAUCGUUUACUUUUAUGCAAGAGUCAGUAGUAUUCCUUCUCAUUCCAACCUACUUUUUAGUUGGCAAGCAUCAUGUGGUGGAGAAAGAUCUAAGCAUAUAUGGCCAUUCAAAUAUAUUUGAUCAUGAAUUAUUAUUGUUGACAUUUAUCUAUAUGAUAAAUAAGUUGGGAGGCGAAACAUUAAGCCCCUAUCUUUCUCUGUGUUCAAUGGAUGCUAUUUGUUCUAAAAAUAUGCUUUGAGUGUUAGCAAUCAUGGAAGACUGUAUGAUAGUUGAGUAUGUGGGAUUUGCUAAAUCAAAUCUCUUACAUAGACCCUUCCUGAAAAUAAGAUGAAUUGCAAUUGUUUGAUGACUGAGAACAUAGUUUGUUAGUUUUCAAGAAAGUUUAUGGUCUAUGCUUUAACAUGUGAAUAGCUUGUUACUUGAUCAUGAAAAGUUUUAUGAGUUGAGCUACUGUUAUGACAUAUAAUGGUGAUUGAAAUUAUCAUUGAUCAAACUUGUGCACCUGCUAGCAUUCACACUUCAUAAAUUAUUUCUUUUAUCAUUUACCUACUCGAGGACGAGCAGGAAUUAAGCUUGAGGAUGCUGAUACGUCUCCAAUGUAUCUAUAAUUUAUGAAGUAUUCAUGCUAUUAUAUUAUCUUUUUUGGAUGUUUAUGGGCUUUACUAAACACUUUUAUAUUAUUUUUGGGACUAACCUAUUAACCGGAGGCCCAACCCAAACUAUUGUUUUCUUGCCUAUUUCAGUGUUUCGAAGAAAAGGAAUAUCAAACGGAGUCCAAACGGAAUGAAACCUUCAGGAGAGUUAUUUUUGGAACGGAAGCAAUCCAGGAGACUUGGAAUAGACGUCAGGGAAGCUUCGAGGAAGCCACGAGGCAGGGAGGCGCGUCCUACCCCCUGGGCGUGCCCCCCACCCUCGUGGGCCCCUCGUGGCUCCCCUGACCGACUUCUUCCGCGUAUAUAUAUCCAUAUACCCUAAAAACAUCGAUGAACACAAUAGAUCGGGAGUUCCGCCGCCGCAAGCCUCUGUAGCCACCAAAAACCAAUCGGGACCCUGUUCCGGCAUCCUGCCGGAGGGGGGAUCCCUCACCGGUGGCCAUGACAAGGAGGGAGUAGUUCACCCUCGGGGCUGAGGGUAUGUACCAGUAGCUACGUGUUUGAUCUCUCUCUCUCUCUCUCUCUCUCUCGUGUUCUUGAUUUGGCACGAUCUUGAUGUAUCGCGAGCUUUGCUAUUAUAGUUGGAUCUUAUGAUGUUUCUCCCCCUCUACUCUCUUGUAAUGGAUUGAGUUUUCCCUUUGAAGUUAUCUUAUCAGAUUGAGUCUUUAAGGAUUUGAGAACACUUGAUGUAUGUCUUGCAUGUGCUUAUCUGUGGUGACAAUGGGAUAUUCAUGUGAUCUACUUGAUGUAUGUUUUGGUGAUCAACUUGCGGGUUCUGUGACCUUGUGAACUUAUGCAUAGGGGUUGGCACACGUUUUCGUCUUGACUCACCGGUAGAAACUUUGGGGCACUCUUUGAUGAAGUACUUUGUGUUGGUUUGAAUAGAUGAAUCUGAGAUUGUGUGAUGCAUAUCGUAUAAUCAUACCCACGGAUACUUGAGGUGACAUUGGAGUAUCUAGGUGACAUUAGGGUUUUGGUUGAUUUGUGUCUUAAGGUGUUAUUCUAGUACGAACUCUAUGAUAGAUCGAACGGAAAGAAUAGCUUCAUGUUAUUUUACUACGGACUCUUGAAUAGAUUGAUCAGAAAGAAUUACAUUGAGGUGGUUUCGUACCCUACCAUAAUCUCCUCGUUUGUUCUCCGCUAUUAGUGACUUUGGAGUGACUCUUUGUUGCAUGUUGAGGGAUAGUUAUAUGAUCUAGUUAUGUUAUUAUUGUUGAGAGAACUUGCACUAGUGGAAGUAUGAACCCUAGGACUUGUUUCCUAGCAUUGCAAUACCGUUUACGCUCACUUUUACCACUUGCUACCUUGCUGUUUUUAUAUUUUCAGAUUACAAAAACCUAUAUCUACCAUCCAUAUUGCACUUGUAUCACCAUCUCUUCGCCGAACUAGUGCACCUAUACAAUUUACCAUUGUAUUGGGUGUGUUGGGGACACAAGAGACUCUUUGUUAUUUGGUUGCAGGGUUGUUUGAGAGAGACCAUCUUCAUCCUACGCCUCCCACGGAUUGAUAAACCUUAGGUCAUCCACUUGAGGGAAAUUUGCUACUGUCCUACAAACCUCUGUACUUGGAGGCCCAACAACGUCUACAAGAAGAAGGUUGUGUAGUAGACAUCAGCCUGCCCCAAGGACCCCUUCCCACUACCUCGCAUCGACCAGAUUAUCGAUGCAACCGCCGGACACGAUUCAUUGUGUUUCCACGACGCAUACUCCGGAUACCGUCAAAUUAAGAUGAAGGAAUCCGACUAAGCCGCAACGGUAUUCAUCACCCCGUACGGGCCUUUCUGCUUCAACACCAUGCUGAAAGUGCGUUAAGUCGACUAGAGGGGGGUGAAUAGGCGAUUUUUAUGAAUUCUUCACUGAGGAAUUUCAGGGUGAGGAAAUUCCUAAGCGAAGAACUACUUGCAGUGGAAUAAGUACUCAGAUGCAUGCAUGACAUAACGUAAGCAUGGACAUUAUGAUGAAAUUGAUACAAACACAGAGUACAGGAAGCGUAAGCACAGGAUAAAACAGGAUGAAGACAAACAGACUAAAGAAAUUGAACUGAGGAAAUUGAGAAAGUCUUCAGUCAAAGUCUUCAAACAGAUAUGAACAAGCACACACAAUAAUGAGGAAAUGGAAGGGUUGGGUAAAUAGAACCAGUUAGCUCGGUGAAGACAAUGAUUUGGUAGACCAGUACCAACUGCCGUGACAGUUGUACGUGUGGUUGGAGCGGCUAGGUAUUUAAACCUGAGGACACACAGUCCCGGACACACAGUCCUCACCGUAUUCUCCUAGAGCUAAGGUCACACAAACCUCUCCCAAUCACUCGUGGUAAGUCUUCAGGUGACAUCCAAACCUUCACAAACUCGGUCACUCGGCGAUCCACAAUUUCCUCUUGGAUGCUCUAGACCAUGACGCCUAACCGUCUGGAAGAUGCACAGUCUUCAAAGGUAACAAGCGUCGGAUCCACACAGGAACAAUUUCUUCAGUGAUGCUCAAUCACUUUGGGUUUGUAGGUGUUUGGGUUUGGGUUUUCCUCACUUGAUGAUUUUCGCUCAAACUCCUCGGAGGAUGGGAUGCUCUCAAUGACAAGUGUCAGUUUAUCUCGGAGCAGCCAUCCAGCUAGUGGUUGUAGGGGGGCGGCUAUUUAUAGCCUAGGGAGCAGCCCGACAUGAUAAGACAUAAAUGCCCUUCAAUGAUAUGACCGUUAGGUGGAUAAGAUAUUUUGGGAUAGCUGGCGCAUAGCACAGCAACGGUCGGAAAUUUGAGGUACAAAUUCCUCAGGGCUAUCAUGAUCCUCACUUGUAGGCAAUCCGCACUAGCGAAUUCCUAACUCCCCAGUCAGAACAAAUUCCUCAGAGACUAGAAGAACUUCGUCUCUGUCACUGAUGAAAUUUACUGAACUGCAUGAGAUUUCCAAUGGCUUCACUCGAAAGGAUUGGUAGGUGUAGGAUUUUGAGAUGAGCAUCACUUGGAAACUUUUCCUUAGUUUUUCCUCGACCCCCUUUAAUAGUACGGUGUUUCUUAUGACUCAAUAAAGAGAAAGACGAAACUAUGAAAACAAAGUCUUCACCCUUCAUAUUCCUCGCAUGAAUAUAGAGUCUUCACGGUCACACCAAUUUCUUCACUUUCAAAGUCUUCAGAAAUCCAAAGUCUUCAGUUGAAGCAUUCAUUUUUAGGCGUCGACUUUCUCUGUAAAUAUCAAACUCCUCAUAGACUUAUAGACUUGUGUACACUCACAAACGCAUUAGUCCCUUAACCUAUAAGUCUUCAAUACACCAAAAUCACUAAGGGGCACUAGAUGCACUUACAAUCUCCCCCUUUUUUGGUGAUUGAUGACAAUAUAGGUUAAGUUUUCAACGGGGAUAAACAUGUGAAGUGUAAAUACUAAUAUUGAGGAAUUUGAUUGCAAGAUAUAGAAGAGCUCCCCCUGAAGAUGUGCAUAGUGAGGAAUUUGCUUUUGAAGCAAUGCACACUUGAAGAGUAGAAUCAUGGAGACCUCCCCCUAUAUCUUGUAAUUCAUACACGCAUUUUAACAUAUGAUAUGAAGAAUUUGAAAUGCAUGAUGAAAUAUGGUGACUGAUGUAAUUCAGCAUGCGUGCAUAACAUAUAUGAGGAAAUAGCAUGCAGAAGAACAUAGCAAAAGUAUCAGACCACCAUCGGGUUUAAGUUUACAACUCGAUCCAAUAAAGUCUUCAGAAGAACGAGAGUUGUAACUUAGAAAAAAACGCCCAUAUAAAGACCCGCUUGAAGACUAACUCAAAUUUCUCCCCCUUUGUCAUCGAAUGACCAAAAGGGACGAAAAAUGAGGACUGACGCCCCUGAAUAAUAUCACGAAGACGAUGGAGGAGCGCCAGCGUUGUUGGGGUCGGUUGUUGAAGUAGGGCCUGCCGCAGUGUCGUCCAAAUCUUCAUGCUCAUCAGUCUCGCGAGAUGAAGAAUAUGAGCUGGCUACCAAAGAAGGAACUUUGACUUUCUUGAAUUUCUUCGACGGUGGCUGAGACCAGUCAAAGUCCUGCUUGAAGCCCGUCUGCUUCAGAUCUUCUUCACCAUAAAGAUGAGACUGAAUAGCCCAGGUGCGAUUGAAUACUUCAUGGAGGUAGUAGUGGUUCUUCUUCACUGAAUUGUGCGUAGAAGUCAUGUUGUGAAGAAUUGAACCAAACUGACGCUUAACCCAUUUGUGGUUGCGAUCGACCUUCUGGUGAAGACUGAGGAGAAGCUCACGAUCAGUCAUCACCCUUGGAGCUGUGCCUUGAGGAUUUUUCUUUGAGGCAUUGGCGGCAGAGUCGUGAGUGGUAGAGUCAUCAUUGGUGGAGUAAGAUGCAGCUUUGCGGAACUGACCAUCCAAUGGACGAAUGCCUUCAUCAAUAACAGCAGUAGCCUUGCCCUUUUCAUCAGCUGAGGAAAAUUUCCGCUUGAGGACUUCAAUGGGGGGCAAGUAGCUGCCAUGGUUGAGUGUGUCAGCCUUGUAAUUGAUUGAAGACCUUGAUCUGAGGAAUCUCAUAAUCUAGGGAGUGUAAGGCUUCAAUUCAAAAGGGGACAAUGCAACAUUGGCCAGAGUCCUCAUGAAGAAAUCAUGGUAGUUGACAGGAACUCCAUGGAUGAUAUUGAAAAGAAGAUUCUUCAUGAUGCCAACGACCUCUUCUUCAUUCGAGUCAUGGCCCUUGAUUGGACUCAAUGUCUUGGUCAGAAUGCGAUAGACAGUCCGUGGCACAUAUAGCAAUUCCUUCAUGAGGAAUUUGGUCCUUGGGGCUUGACCGGGCUUCAGUGGCUUCAUCAACACUUGCAUAUAGUGAUCAGCGAGUUCAGGUUCAUGAUAUAUACAACGAGCACCUUCAAGGGGAGGACUGACUGGCAGGGCAUGAAGCAAUUCAGAGGCCGGUGCUUUGAAGUGAGUGUUUUCUGUCAUCCAGUCCAACACCCAAGAGUUCACAUCUUCAGCAUUUCCUGUAAUGUGCAGCAUCGCAUAGAACUAAAGAAUUAGCUCUUCAUUCCAAUCACACAUAUCGGUGCAGAAGUUGAGCAAUCUAGCGUCAUGAAGAACGCUGAGAACUGGUGUGAAGUAAGGCAGCGAUUCCAUGUCCACAUGAGGAAUAUGCUCAUGGUCGAAGACUUUGUCCUUAUCAAAAAGCAGUGAAGAAUAGAAGUUUGCUUGGCUUGCGGUCUAGAAACGCUUCCUUCGUAGGUGAGCAGAGUCAUAGGGAUUGUAGUCUGUGAAGAAUACAUGCUCGUGGAAGAAGUCAUCAUCCUUGAAGUUUUGCUUCUUAGAGAAGGGAUUCUUCGGCUUGGGCUGAGGAGUAUCAGUCAAAGUCAUCAGAGGCUCAGGAAUCACAUUCUCAGGCACCACAGCCUGAGGAAUUUCAGUUUUUGCUUCAGUUGCAUCCUGGGUCUUCUUUUCUUCAUCAGCACUAGUGGCUGGAAUUUCUUCAGGAAUGGAAGGAGUGGUGUGAGGUUUGUCAGAGCCCAUUUUAACUUUAGUGUGCAUUGGGGACUGAGGAAUUUGUUACAGUGGCGUGAACAAAGGAGAGUUGGGGUGCUGACUUUCCCAAAAGUCAUCAUUCAUCACAGGCGUGGUGCUCCCAAUGUCCACGUCUUCAUCUUCUUCACUUAAUUCUUCAACGCCUGCCUCUUCAGCUGUGAACUGAGGCACUGGCGAUGAAACAACUAGAGUUGAAGGGAUAUCAUCCACUUCAAUUUCUUCGUCCUGCUCUGAAGAAGUAGCAGAAGGAAUGUCUUCAUCAGAUCCGCUUGGGAUCACAUAUUCUUCUCCAAAAGGAACGAGUUCCUCUGAUGGCAUACUAGAGACAGGAACAACAUCAAUGGGAUUCUCAAAAGAGCUUGUCAAUAUCUUCAUCUUCUUCGGUGCUGAAGACAGUGACGAAGCAGAUGCUUUCCUCUUCUUUAUUGCUGCUCGCUCCGCAGCUUUGGUUUUCUUCGCUUCUGAUGCAGAAGGAAGAAAUGGACUUGGUGUUGGUGCAGGAGGAGCAGAGGAAAUUGGUUCAUUUUCCUCGGGCACAACUGAUGCAGUUGGCCUGGUUUGUUCAGCUUCUUCAGUCUCAGCGGUUGAUGCCUCAGCUGGCCUGGCUUGUUCUUCAGGCGCAACACUAGUGGUUGCCCUGGCAAUUUCAUCAGUGGCUGGAAUAGAUGCAUCAGUGAUACGUCUCCGUCGUAUCUAUAAUUUUUUAUUGUUCCAUGCCAAUAUUCUACAACUUUCAUAUACUUUUGGCAACUUUUUAUACUAUUUUUGGGACUAACAUAUUGAUACAAUGCCCAGUACCAGUUCCUGUUUGUUGCAUGUUUUAUGUUUCGCAGAAACCCCAUAUCAAACGGAAUCCAAACGUAAUAAAAACGGACGGAGAAUAUUUUUGGAAUAUUUGGAGAAUAUGGGAAGAAGAAUCAACGCGAGACGGUGCCCGAGGUGGCCACGAGGCAGGGGGGCGCGCCCCUGACCCUCGUGGGCCACCCGUAAGGCGGUUGCUUCUCUACUUUGGCCGCAAGAAAGCUAAUUUUUAGAAAAAAAAUCACGACGAAGAUUUCAGUCCAAUCGGAGUUACGGAUCUCCAUAUAUAUACGAAAUGGUGAAAGGGCCGCCGACCAAAACGUAGAAACAGAGAGAGACAGAGAGAUAGAUCCAAUCUCGGAGGGGCUCUCGCCCCUCCCACACCAUGGAGACCAAGGACCAGAGGGGAAACCCUUCUCCCAUCUAGGGAGGAGGUCAAGGAAGAAUAAGAAUAAGAAGGGGGGCCCUCUCCCCUUCUCUUCCGGUGGCGCCUGUCGUGGAAUUGUCACGACAGAUGUCCUAGCGAAAGGACUUAGUCAUGGAGCCAUCGCAACGGGUUAGCUUAAAGAGGUUAAACCGGACAAGGGACACGAGAGUUUUAUACUAGUUCGGCCCCUUACGAUGAAGGUAAAAGCCUACGUCUAGUUGUGAUGGAAUUGCUAGGGUUUCGAUGACCAGGGAGCGAAUACGCUUUGCCUGAGUCUCGAGUUGUUGUUUUUUUGUCCUUGAACCGCCACCGGGUCGUGCCUUUAUAUACACAGGUCGACGCCCGCCGGCUUACAGAGUCCCGAUGCCGGUUUAUACACAUACCGGCUCGGUCUCUACUUUGUCGUACCUUACAAUACAAGUCAUGUACUAUAUGGCGGUUUAUAGCUACAGGCCUUAAUCUACCUUUGGGCCUUGGGCCUUCGAGUCUCUGUAGUAAACCGCUUUAUUCCUUAUCUUCAUGGGCUUUUAAGUAUAACAAUCCAUUAUGGGGAUAACCCGGCUUCCUUGGCCAGUUUACACCUAGUAGUAAUAUCCCCAACAUUAGGCCCCAGAUUGAUUUGAACUGGUUCAUGUCAAUCUCCAAAACCUUGAGAAAAUUUCUUCUUCCAUAUCUUCGCAUAAAUCUUGUAAACCGCCAUGACGUCAUCAUCCAGAAUCAUAAUAAACCGCCAUGAUGUCAUUUGUUAUUUUAAAUGGUAUAUUCCUCACCUUCAUUAAUGAGCCUCCGACAGUCGAGGCAACAAAUCUGUCACAUAUCCAUUUGUUAGGCUCCUCGAUUCUUGCGCUUAACCCUUAUCCUUUCGUCUUUAUAAAUACGGCCGAGGGUCCUUUCCGUUUUCCCCCUUUCUCUUCGUCUCCUUCUUCCUCGCGACGUCUCAGAACCCGAGCUCUGCUGCCGCCGUCGUCCUUUGUAUCUGCAUCAACCAAGGCCGCUGCAUCAACCUGAUCGAGCCAGAGCAACGCGGCGCUCCUUCGCUGUUUCGCAGCAUCGGUGAGUUCAUUUCCUUUUCAACCUCAGAUCUGCAUUAGGGUUCCGCCGUUCGUCGGUGUUCUUCCCUGUUCGUCUUCUUUCUGUUCUUAGAUCUCAUAACUUGAUUUGCAACUGAUAGUGGAAGUAGGCGAUGAUAGUCUAGCGCCCUUUACCAACCUCAGAAAACACCUUUUACUGCCUGAGAUCCAAUCAAACAAACGUGUUCUUCCACUGCCACCAUUUUAGGUUAAAUUUAUUUCCUCUUUUUAGAAUUGUGACAGAUCCAAAUUUAUACCACCGAUCAGUGAAAUCUGUUUGCGCCAUACUUAGAAAUUUUUGUAAAUCUGUAGCCUCUAUACCAUUGUGGGUGGUUUAUCCUUUAAACUUUGAUAACUCAUCAUAUACCAUUAGCCCUCUGUUAAACCGCCAACCCGCUUUAAGUGCUGAAAUCCGGUUUAGUACAGCCAAAUGCUUGAAAUAUCAUAGUCUUCCAUCAUUGCGCCAGUUUGUAAGUUGUAACCAUGAACUUUAACCCGGAUACCGUGCUUUUUUCCAGCUUCUCACCAGAAAUGGCCAAACAAUUCUGUUCCUGUAAUUGGGUUCCUUCCCGGGUUACGGAAGCGCAGCUAGCUGGUUGUGUUGCAACGGGUGCUUUAGCAAAUAAGGACACUAUUCAUUGGCGAGUCCCCAGUCCAGAAUUUCCUCCUAAACCCCAAGACGGAGAAGUUAUUGUAUUUACUGAUCACCUGAGCCGAGGCUUCACUCCCCCCGGAUCAAAAAAAUUCCGUGACGUGCUCGCCGACUUUCAAAUCCAUCCCCAAGAUAUCGGUCCAAACUCCAUAUCCAAUAUUUGUGACUGGCAAGUAUUCUGUGAAGUGUACCUGCAAGAGGAGCCUACUGUUGAUCUGUUCCGGGAUUUCUUUUAUCUAAACCACCGUACUGAGUUUACGGAUGGCCCCAAUACUGAACUAGGCGGGGUUUCAAUUCAGAAGAGGAGAGAUGUUGAUUUCCCUCAUGCCAAGCUUCAUAGUCAUCCUAAGGACUGGAAUCAGACUUGGUUCUACUGCCGCAACACAGCCCCAGCCAAUGAAAAUCCUUUGCCGGGUUACCGUCCACACCGCCUUACCCAAGCUCAUCCCUUUCCUCAACGGUUGACAGCCCGGGAGCGAGCAAAAUAUGCCCCUCAACUGGCAAAGCUCAGAGCCUUUGUUGCAAAUGGGCUGAUAGGCGUGGAUUUUGUCCGAUGCUGGGUUUCAUGGAGCAUUUUACCUUUAAGCCGACGGCCCAGUUUAAUGUGUGAAUACACAGGGGAUCUGAAAUACCCGCAACGCCAUAUUGACAUCCAGCUGACUGAUGAUGAAGUCAUCGAAGCUGUUAAAAAGAUGCUUAAUGAGCCAAUAGAUGUGUGCAGCAAAACCGGGCUCAGUCCUUUCUAUGCUGCCAAUAAACCGCCAAAGGUAUAAUCUACCGUAUUUCUGCCUUUAUCCAUCCUUUGUUAAAUUUCUCCUCUGAUGACUUACUAUUUGUCUAUGCAGGUCGAUGAUCCAUUCUGGAAUAAAAAAUCACAAGAUAAACCGGUAAAGAAUCCUCGGCUUAAGACUAAGGCUUCAAAAAAGCCUAUGAAAAGAAGGAACGUUGAACCGUCCGAGCCCAUUAUUGAUGAUGAUCUGGAAAUUCCGGAUUCAGAGGUAGAACUUGACUCUCUCGGUUCAUUUUUUAUACACCUUAUUGACAAUGAUCAUUAUCAGGAUGAAGCGGAAGCCAGCCAUGUUGAUGAGGUAACUAUUCUUUCUUCUGAUUCUGAUCCUGUGCCAGUACCAAGAAUCCGUCGAGCCAUUCAGAAAGUAAAAUUUGCAUGCCCUCUUUCUUAUUUGGACCCGCACUUUCUUUUAAAGACGCAGCAGCAUGAAGCUCGCCGCACAACUCGACAUAGUGGCCAAGUGGUGACCUCCUCCGGUUUACCAAAUUCGCCGGUUCGUAAACGCCGCCAAGAGGUUGCUUAUACUCCUGACACCCUUUAUCCUAAGGCGGGUUACAUCCGAUAUCCUCUUAUCCGUCUGACUCAAAUUAUCAGGGAACUUCCCAUUCAUCGUCUGGCGAGUCGUCAGCGACACAACUUCCUCCUCUGAGAACCGUCCCUGGGUAAGCAUAACAUACUUUUAACUUUUUGGUCUUGUAUUAUAUUGUCAUAUCGAUCUUCGUGUCUGCUGUUUUUCGGUGCUAAAGCCAGACCAAGCAAGAAGGCUAGAUUGAAUAGGCCAACCGACCAUGAACCGGCUACCGAGCCGGAGAAAACCCCAGAGGCCAUUGACCCGGAGGCUAACACUGUUAUUGAUAAUCCAGAACCUCAAGCAACCGACACGCUUGUUGAACCGGUAGAACAUAAUCCAACAAGCCAGUCAGCUGAUCCAUUAAGUCCAACUGUUGAUCCGCCGAGUCCGGCUAAAGCAUCCGAUAAACCGCCAAGCCCUGCCAAAACUACGGACGACGAUGUUGUCGUAACUGGCCUUGGUUUCAGCUCCCCUGGUCGUCCUGUCGCGUUAUCAAAGCAUAGCGCCAAAGAAGAAAGUUCUGCUAUGGACAAAGGGAAAUGGAAAUCCGAGUUAUCCAAUUAUACCAACCUCAGCGCUGAAGACCUUCAUUCUGGUUUUUUAAACCGCCUGUAUACAAGCCGCGACUUUGAAGCUGGUUUAGUAGGCCUGAUGAAGGAGCGGUGUGAGGUAAAUGUCACUUUCCCUUUGCAUAAAUAUUCCAAUAGUCCUUUUGUUAGAACUGGUCUAACGUAUCAACUCCAGUAGCCCCCAAGGACCGGUGCAUAACAUUGGUUUGAACCGGGUCUUGAAUCGAUAUUUGCAUUUUGCUGGUGUAGCCCCCAUGAACCGGCUUAUAUCUUUUUAGAAUGAACCGGUACAUCCUACUGAUCUCACCACUUAUAAUGAUGACAAUCCAUAUGAAUCUGAACGAAUACGCAUUAGCCCCCAAGUGUCAAGUAGAUAACUUGUUAUGUGCAUGAGACUUUAAAUUAAUAACUGAUAAGAAGCAAUCCGCAUUAGCCCCCAAGUGUCAAGUAGAUAACUUGUUAUGUGGUUGGGACUUCAGUGUUGUAAUGCUAACUUGUUAUCUGUAUUUUGCAGGCUGAGUUGUCCAAAAAAGACUCCCAAAUCACUGAUCUCCAAGGAAACAUCAAGUCUCAGGUAGACGAAACUUGCAAAGUUAAGAGCGAGCUGACCACCGCUUUAACAACCAUGGAGCAGCUAAAGGAAUUCUUCAAAGGCGAACGGGCAGAUUGGGCAACUGAAAAGACCACCUUGUUAAAGCGGGCAGAAGAUGCGGAAAACGCCCUUAAACCGGCCACAGAAGAGCUGAGCAGCCUGAAGCGGCAGAUUGAUGCCAUGACCUCUGCCAUCUUUGGUAACAAUCUCUUCACCAAUAUGUAACAACACCAGUUAUAAAAACUUCUGGUUUAAUAAUAAUAUGAUCCUUUUGCAGGUAGCCGUGUCACUCAUCUUGGCACAGAUAUGCGCAAAAAAUUGAAGGCCGUCUAUACUUUGGUAGAACAGCUUUAUACCGGCGCGCAACGAGCUAUCUGCACAGCUUCCAAUAACCAUCUGCCCCCGUCGCUAAUCAAGGAAACGCUGGAAAAAUUGUCUAUGAUGCCUGCCCGGAUUAUGGAAUUGAAGAAAUCCGCUGCUAGGUCCGGUGCCCUUACUGCACUGACGCGCGCCAAGGCCUGGAUCUCUGACCUUGAUCCGGAAGAUGUUGGAAAUGGUUACCCAAGCCAAAAAGAGGACGGUUCAGAAUUUAACAAUGACGAUCUCCGGGCUAUCACAAGAGAGAUGCGACCAUUGGCAAGUAAGUUGGCUGAAGAUACUAACUUGUCAAUUUACCAGAAUGUAUAUGACGCCAGUGGCAAGCGAAUAAGUGCUCCAACUUAUGACGUGGAAAGUCUGAUCCCGCCGAUCCGUAAGCACACUUACGCUCCUGAUGUUGAACCGUCUGAUCUUAUACACGACGAAGCUGUCUUUCAAGCCUUAUCAGGAAUUGAUUGGACAACUAUUGACUUCCAGCCACUGGGUGGAGAGAAGGAGGGUGAACCGGUGCAGGAAGAUCCGCAACCUUCACAUCAACCUGAGGCAGAAUCAUAAUCCGGAAGCCGGUUUAACUUGUGCCUAUUGUCAUCCUUGUGAAAAACAAUCAUUCUUAUGGGCAGUCGAAACGCCUUGUAAUAGGCUAGCUUGAACAGCUGAUCUGAUAUGCCAUCGUGCAUACUUGUUGCACACAAUAUUGUUAAUCCGUCAUGCUAUAUUUGCUUAUGAUCUUUAUCGAUUUUAUACAGCCCUGUUUCUGCAUAAAACAAAGUGAAAACUGUCCUGGCGGUUUACCGCCAGACGGGGCAUAAUGCCCAAUAUAUAGCCAAGGUUGAUAACCGUAGCUUUGAAUAAUGAAAUAUGAAACAUAUCAUACCUGUGAUAUUGAAUCCCCUUGUUGGUUUACCAACAUUCUUGUAAUAAGGGUGACGACCCAAAUACUGAGUAUUGAUAACUCAAACCAUGUUAUGCUGGUAUAUAACAAGUGAUGCCGGGUUAUGAUAAACACCGGAUGAUCAUCUUGGCAACUUAUAGUUAACUCCAGGCCGGGUUAAAUAAACACCGGUUUAUAUGGAUGAUUUACAAUUAGGCCGGGCCAUUAGACGCCGGUUUAGCUCAAAACUUUAACAAGGGAGAAAAACAAAACUGACCAAUAAAAACCAGAGAGAAAAAAAACUUGUAGUCGAGGCUUUUCAAGGGCUGCCAGGCCCAAAUGCGAGGCUUUUCAUGGGCUGCCAGACCACUGAGUUAAACCGUUUUACAAAGACUUUUAAGAUGGUCCUCCAUCUUUAACCAAUCGCCGGUCUAUCAUUGACAAGUUCAGGGUCAUAUGCGAUUGACUUGUCAAGUUGGCGGGUCAUACCAGGCUUACCUGGGUGGAGUGACUUACUUAAUGAAGGCAGGUUAACCCGGGGUUUUAGGUGUAUAUACCAGGCUUCCAAGCCACGGCUUGAUAGCCUAUUGCAAGUGUAGAUUUCUUUGUUCAUUGCGAUAGCAAAGAAUCUCCAAGCAACAUUUUGAGCUGUGCUCAACGGGUGCCUAUGUUUGAGUUGUUCUUGACAACACUCUUUGGCCCCUAAGUAAUGGCAUUGCGCCAGCCAAAAGGUGUAGCUAUGGUUGAACACAACCAAGCCCCCAAGUGACUUACUGUCGUGGCUUUUGAGCCAGCCAAGAGGUGUAGCUAUGGGUUGAAUACAACCAAGCCCCCAAGUGACUUACUGUCGUGGCUUUUGAGCCAACCAAGAGGUGUAGCUAUGGUUUGAAUACAACCAAGCCCCCAAGUGACUUAUAUUGAAUAGACAGCUGUAAAGCUGAAUCAAAGGGUAAACCGGAUGUCGCUUCACAAACAGAAUCCUCCGUGUAACCACUCAUGAUAUGAGAAGAACAGCAGAUACCCCGCUUUAGCUGGGGCUCCGGUUUAUUAUAUUGAUCAUAAUAUAUACAUCAUCAAAAUAUGUACAUGAUAGGAGCCUAUGGCUCAGGUGUAGUACGGCUGUAGAUGAGCUAUGUUCCAUGGCCGGAUCGUCUCCUCCUCUGACUUGCGUGAGUCUUUAUGCUCUCGAACAUCAAUGAGGUAAUAUGAUCCGUUGUUCAGAUUCUUGCUGACCACAAAGGGCCCUUCCCAAGGCGGGGAUAACUUGUGCAUAUCGGUCUGAUCUUGGAUAAGCUGGAGCACUAGAUCGCCUUCUUGAAAAGUUCUGGUUUUAACCCGACUGUGAUAACGUCGCAGGUCUUGCUGAUAAAUCGCCCAGCGAGCCGCCGCUACGUCCCGUUUCUCAUGCAACAGGUCCAACGCAUCCUGGCGUGCUCUUUCAUUAUCCGCUUCAAUAUAAGCUGCCACUCGUGGUGAGUCAUGACGAAUAUCACUUGGAAGGACAGCUUCCGCUCCAUAAACCAUGAAGAAGGGUGUAUAACCCGUAGAUCUAUUGGGGGUGGUGUUAAUGCUCCAUAAAACGGAAGGCGGCUCUUCAACCCAACAACCCGGUGUCCUCUGCAAAGGAACCAUAAGCCGGGGCUUGAUCCCCUUCAAGAUUUCCUGAUUAGCUCUCUCCGCUUGACCAUUAGACUGGGGGUGGGCCACUGAAGACACAUCGAGACGGAUGUGCUCUCUUUGACAGAACUCCUCCAUAGCACCCUUGGAAAGAUUCGUGCCAUUGUCUGUUAUAAUGCUGUGUGGAAAACCAAAAUGGAAUAUCACCUUCUUCAUAAAUUGAACCGCCGUGGCUGCAUCACAUUUGCUAACUGGUUCUGCCUCCACCCACUUGGUAAAUUUAUCAACCGCAACCAAGAGGUGGGUCUUCUUAUCCUUAGACCUCUUAAAGGGUCCAACCAUAUCAAGCCCCCAGGUUGCAAACGGCCAGGUAAUUGGAAUCAUCCUCAGCUCCUGAGCCGGAACAUGAGCCCGGCGUGCAAACUUCUAACAACCAUCGCACCUUUUGACCAAGUCCUCAGCAUCAGCAUGAGCCGUCAGCCAAUAGAAACCGUGACGAAAAGCCUUAGCCACCAGGGACUUUGAACCGGCAUGAUGACCACAAUCACCUUCAUGAAUCUCGCGUAAAAUUUCACGACCUUCUUCAGGAGAAACACAACGUUGAAAAGCCCCUGAGACACUGCAAUGAUGUAGCUCGCCAUUGACAAUAGUCAUGGACUUGGAACGCCGGAUUAUCUGCCUGGCCAGAACUUCAUCCUCUGGUAACUCACCCCGGUUCAUAUAUGCCAAACAUGGGAUCGUCCAAUCCGGGGUGACAUGAAGUGCCGCCACCAACUGAGCCUCCGGAUCAGGAAUAGCUAAGUCCUCCUCCGUGGGUAACUUGACCGACGGGUUAUGCAAAACAUCAAGAAAAACAUUGGGCGGCACCGGUUUACGCUGGGAGCCCAACCGGCUUAAAGCGUCCGCCGCUUCAUUCUUUCGCCGGUCUACAUGAUCAACCUGAUAACCCUUGAAAUGACCUGCAACGAUAUCCACCUCUCGACGAUACGUUGCCAUGAGGGGGUCCUUGGAAUCCCAAGUACCAGAAACUUGUUGAGCCACUAGGUCCGAGUCACCAAAACAUUUAACCCGGCUCAGAUUCAUCUCCUUAGCCAUCUGGAGACCAUGGAGCAGGGCCUCGUACUCAGCUGCAUUAUUAGUACAAGGAAACAUCAAGCAGAGAACAUAACAAAAUUUGUCACCUCGAGGGGAAGUAAGAACCACUCCAGCCCCCGAGCCCUCCAAUUUCCUGGAUCCGUCGAAAUGAAUCGUCCAGUAUGUGUUGUCCGGUCUAUCCUCCGGCGCCUGCAAUUCUGUCUAGUCAUUGAUGAAAUCCACGAGUGCUUGGGACUUGAUGGCCGUGCGAGGCAUAUAUUUUAAUCCGUGAGGCCCAAGCUCGAUAGCCCACUUAGCAACCCGGCCAGUCGCUUCUCUGUUCUGGAUGAUAUCUCCCAAAGGAGCAGAACUGACCACAGUAAUGGGAUGGCCCUGAAAGUAUUGUUUCAGCUUCCGGCUUGCCAUAAAAACCCCAUAUACAAGCUUCUGCCAAUGUGGAUAUCUCUGUUUUGACUCAAUGAGCACCUCACUGAUAUAAUAAACCGGCCGUUGAACCGGAUACUCCUUUCCUGCCUCCUUGCGCUCCACCACAAUAGCCACGCUGACAGCCCGAGCAUUAGCAGCCACAUAUAAUAGCAAUGGUUCCUUGUCCAUGGGAGCAGCAAGAACAGGUGGUCCGGCAAGCUGCCGCUUUAGAGCCUCAAACGCUUCAUUAGCCGCAUCACUCCAGACAAAGUUGUCCAUUUUCUUCAGCAUUUGAUAUAAAGGGAUGGCCUUCUCCCCGAGAUGACUUAUAAAACGGCUCAAUGCUGCAAUCCGGCCUGCCAAUCUCUGAACAUCAUUGAUGCACUUCGGUUUAGCCAGUGAAGUAAUAGCCUUGAUCUUCUCCGGAUUAGCUUCAAUGCCCCUGUUAGACACCAGAAAACCCAAAAGCUUGCCUGCUGGCACACCAAAAACACACUUGGCUGGGUUGAGCAUCAUCUUAUAAACCCGGAGGUUAUCAAAGGUCUCCUUUAAGUCAUCUAUUAAUGUUUCCUCCUUCCUGGACUUCACCACAAUAUCAUCCACAUAAGCAUGAACGUUGCGCCCAAUCUGGUUAUGAAGACAAUUCUGAACACAACACUGAUAAGUUGCCUGGGCACUCUUGAGCCCAAAGGGCAUAGACACAUAGCAGAAGGCUCCAAAGGGAGUUAUAAAAGCUGUCUUCUCCUAGUCCUUAACUGCCAUCUUAAUCUGAUGAUAACCUGAAUAAGCAUCCAGAAAACUCAAACGCUCACAACCCGCCGUAGCAUCAAUGAUUUGAUCGAUAUGGGGGAGGGCAAAAGGAUCAGUCGGACACGCUUUGUUCAAAUCCGUGUAAUCCACACACAUACGCCAGGUGCCAUUCUUCUUAAGCACCAGCACCGGAUUAGCCAACCACUCCGGAUGAAAAACUUCAACAAUGAACCCUGCCGCCAAGAGCCGGGCUACCUCCUCACCAAUAGCCUUGUGCCUCUCUUCAUUGAGCCGGUGAAGGAAUUGUCGGACCGGUUUAAACUUGGGAUCAAUAUUAAGGGUGUGCUCAGCGAGUUCCCUCGGUACACCUGGCAUGUCAGAAGGCUUCCAUGCAAAGAUAUCCCGAUUCUCACGGAUGAAUUCGAUGAGCGCGCUUUCCUAUUUCGGAUCCAGAUUUGCACUGAUGAUGAACUGUUUGGAUGAAUCGUCGGGCACAAAAUCAACCAUCUUAGUCUCAUCAGCCGAUUUAAACUUCAAGGCCGGAUCAUGCUCCGUGGUUGGUUUCUUCAAAGAAGUCAUGUCCGCCAGAUCAACCUUGUCUUUAUAGAACUUCAACUCCUCUGCUGCACAAACCGACUCAGCAUAGGCCGCAUCACCUUCCUCACACUCCAAAGCGAUCUUGCGGCUUCCAUGUACUGUGAUAGUCCCUUUAUGACCCGGCAUCUUGAGCUGCAGAUAAACAUAACAGGGUCGUGCCAUGAACUUAGCAUAAGCCGUCCGUCCAAACAGGGCAUGAUACGGGCUUUGGAUUUUCACCACUUCGAAAGUCAAUGUCUCUGAUCUUGAGUCAUACUCAUCUCCAAAAGCGACUUCCAGAGCUAUUUUACCAACCGGAUAGGCUGAUUUGCCAGGCACUACACCAUGGAAAACAGUGUUCGACGGUUUAAGAUUCUUAUCUGUCAACCCCAUACGACGGAAGGUGUCAUAAUAUAAGAUGUUGAUACUGCUGCCUCCGUCCAUGAGCACCUUAGUGAACUUAUAACCUCCAACCUGAGGCGCCACCACCAACGCCAAAUGACCCGGAUUGUCAACCCGGGGCGCGUGAUCCUCUCGGCUCCAGACAAUAGGCUGCUCAGACCAUCGCAAAUAACGAGGCACUGCCGGUUCAACCGAGUUCACCGCCUGUUUAUGAAGCUUCUGAUCGCGUUUGCAUAAGCUGGUGGUGAAAACGUGGUACUGUCCACUAUUCAACUGCUUUGGGUGACUUUGGUACCCUGACUGUUGCUGUUGCGGUCCUUGUUGGUUAUAACCACCCUGGUUGCUCUGAUUGCCUUGAUUGCCAUGUCCACCCUGAUUGCCUUGGAAUCCUGAACCGGAGUUGCCUCCUCCAUAACCCGGCCCAUAGGACCCGGGUCCUGAACCGCCGGAUGGUCCAUGAUCAUUCCGGAAGAGAUCUGAAUUUUUGAAUUCUCGCAUGAUAUAACAAUCUUUCCAGAGGUGUGUGGCCGGUUUGUCCUGCGUUCCAGGAUGCUUCGGGCAGGGCUGGUUCAACAGGUAAUUCAGGCGCUCCGGAUUAGGACUGGGCUCUGCCCUUCUUGGGGGCGGCUUUCCUUUACGACGCUGACCAUUACCCUGUGUAUUGGUGUUAGCCACAAAAUCUGAAUUAUGAUCUGCUUUCCGCUUACCAUUAUUAUUGUGGCCUGUCGGGUUAUGUUGCUGCCCCUUGGCGUUGCCGCUCUUCUUUCCCUUCCCUGGUUUGUCAUCGUCAGACUCGGGGUCCUUGGUACUAUCAGAAUCAGCAUACUUAACCAGAGCAGCCAUAAGUGUUCCCAUGUCAUUGCAGUGACGCUUGAGCCGUCCCAACUUCAACUUUAAAGGAUGAAACCGACAAUUCCCCUCCAAUGUUAUAAUCGCCGAGUCGGCAUUGAUGCGAUCCGAAGAAUGUAAGAUCUCUGAAACCCGGCACACCCAACGGGUUGUUGACUCGCCUUCUCCCUGAACGAAGGCGGCUAAGUCCACAAUUGACAUAGGUUGCUUGCACGUGUCUUUGAAGUUUGCUAUAAACCGGGCUUUUAACUCAGCCCAUGUCCCAAUGGAAUUAACCGGUAAGCUUUUCAACCACGUGCGAGCUGUUCCAUCCAACAUCAUAGCGAAAUAUUUCGCGCAGGCCUCUUCAUCCACGUCUAACAUCUCCAUAGCCAUCUCAUAACUCUCAAUCCAUGACUCGGGAGGCACAUCAGCGGUGUAAUUAGGCACCUUACGGGGGCCCUUGAAAUCCUUGGGCAGCCGUACAUUGCGCAAAGCCGGGACGAGGCAGGGCACCCCCCAAGAGCUGAAAGUAAGGCCUUGCUCUACGGAAGCCACCGGACGAACCAGAGUGAGCUGACGGUCCUGCGCUGCUAACUCGGCUUCUCGACGUGCUCCGUUGUUCACCACAUCUUGGGCAUUUGCCCCACCACGCGCCGGAUUAGGUCCUCGAGGAGCGUCUCGGUUCCGCGCACUGCUUGACACAGCCAGUUCAUCGAUGUGCCUGCUAUAACUCCGGCUCGGGCGUGGGGUUGAAUGAAUUCUGUCUCGGCUGUAUGAAUAAGCCUGCUGCUGUACCAUAGCCGUCUGAAGAAGAUCCCUAGCACGCCGCGUCUCAACCGCCGCUGGGGAUUCACCCUCCAUUGGAAUAGCGGCUAAUCGUGAUGCGGCAGCGAUCAUAUUAUCCAAAGGGGUGGAGAAGUGACCCGGCGGCGUCGGUACAAUCUGCAGCGGGUUAUGGGUCCGUUGAGGGGGAUCUGUCACCCGUGCCUGAUCCGGUGCUUCGGUCCUCGGCGCCUCAAUCCGGUUCACCGCUGCCGGAUUACUGGUUCCUGCUCCCGGCGUGCCAAAGAGAUUCAUUGCCUCAUAAACUGGUGGUAGUCGUGACCGAUGCCUUCUCCUUAACACGUCGUUUGAAGCGUUCUGAUCCAACAGGAGUCGAUAAUUUUCCGCCUGAAUCCGCUGUGCUUGUGCCUCUAAAGCGGCCCGUUCCUCAGCUAUCCUGGUUUCUUCAGCCGCUAAGUCCUCCUUAGCUUGAGUUAUCUGAUCCUGCAGCUUAGCCACCUCCGCAUUAUGUUGAUCUUGCGUGUCGGCGGUAACUCGUGUGGUCAAUAAGGUCGUCCAGGCGUCCAAUAAAUCGGACAAGAUUUGGGCCGGCCGGCGCGCGGGGCCUCCCGCCCCAGCUGCCGAUCCGGAAAUUAUUGCUGCCGCGGUUGAAGAAUGCAACGUGGGCUGAGUUCCAGCCAUGAAGAUCGCAACCCGGUUUGCCGGUUCAAAGGGGUCCGGAAUACUGUCGCCGUCGGAAUAGCCCCCAAAUUGGCCAUCUUGCAGUUGGUACAGUGACUCGGUCUCCCCGGUGGACGACGCGUCAUCUGAGUAGACGACGGUCUCGCCAUCGGACGCCGGUUCAAGUUCCGCACCAUUGAUGAAUCCUACGAACGCACGCUUCACGGCGGGUUGAACCCGGGCAGGGCUUGCACGCUGAGCCGUCUCGACGAGGUCGGUGCAGAUGUCCGGCUCAGGGCCCGGUUCGCCGAUCUUGCUGAUGAAGACGUGAAUUCCUCCAAAGGGGACCCGGUACCCGUACUCGAUUGAGCUGGCUUCGGGGCCCCAGCCUGCGUUGUCGAUGUAGAGUUUGCCGCGACGACUCUUGGUCAUCCGGCCCACGGCGUAUCCCUUGAGCCCUUCAAAAUUGCCCUUCAAGAACUCGAAACCAUCGCGCGAUAGCCCCACGGUGGGCGCCAACUGUCGUGGAAUUGUCACGGCAGAUGUCCUAGCGAAAGGACUUAGUCGUGGAGCCAUCGCAACGGGUUAGCUUAAAGAGGUUAAACCGGACAAGGGACACAAGAGUUUUAUACUAGUUCGGCCCCUUACGAUGAAGGUAAAAGCCUACAUCUAGUUGUGAUGGAAUGGCUGGGGUUUCGAUGACCAGGGAGCGAAUACGCUUUGCCUGAGUCUCGAGUUGUUGUUUUUUUGUCCUUGAACCGCCGUCGGGUCGUGCCUUUAUAUACACAGGUCGACGCCCGCCGGCUUACAGAGUCCCGAUGCCGGUUUAUACACAUACCGGCUCGGUCUCUACUUUGUCGUACCUUACAAUACAAGUCAUGUACUAUAUGGCGGUUUAUAGCUACAUGCCUUAAUCUACCUUUGGGCCUUGGGCCUUUGAGUCUCUGUAGUAAACCGCUUUAUUCCUUAUCUUCAUGGGCUUUUAAGUAUAACAAUCCAUUAUGGGGAUAACCCGGCUUCCUUGGCCGGUUUACACCUAGUAGUAAUAUCCCCAACAGCGCCGGAACGCUGUCGUGGCCAUCAUCAUCACCGCAAUCUUCACCAACAACUUCACCGCCAUCAUCACCAACUCUUCCCCCCUCUAUGCAGUGGUGUAACCUCUCUCUUACCCGCUGUAAUCUCUACUUAAACAUGGUGCUCAACGCUAUAUAUUAUUUCCCAAUGAUGUAUGGCUAUCCUAUGAUGUUUGAGUAGAUCCGUUUUGUCCUAUGGGUUUCUUGAUGAUCAAGAUUGGUUUGAGUUGCAUGUUUUAUUAUUGGUGCUGUCCUAUGGUGCUCUCCGUGUCGCACAAGCGUGAGGGAUUCCCGCUGUAGGGUUUGCAAUAUGUUCAUGAUUUGCUUAUGGUGGGUGGCGUGAGUGACAGAAGCACAGACCCGAGUAAGUAGGUUGUUUGCGUAUGGGAUAAAGAGGACUUGAUGCUUUAAUGCUAUGGUUGGGUUUUACCUUAAUGAUCUUUAGUAGUUGCGGAUGCUUGCUAGAGUUCCAAUCAUAAGUGCAUAUGAUCCAAGUAGAGAAAGUAUGUUAGCUUAUGCCUCUCCCUCAAAUAAAAUUGCAAUAAUGAUUACCGGUCUAGUUAUCGACUGCCUAGGGACAAAUAACUUUCUCAUGACAAAAAGCUCUCCACUAAAACUAACUUAGUUGUGUAUUCAUCUAAACAGCCCCUAGUUUAUAUUUACGUGCUCUUUACUUUCUUGCAAACCUAUCCAACAACACCUACAAAGUACUUCUAGUUUCAUACUUGUUCUAGGUAAAGCGAACCUUAAGCGUGCGUAGAGUUGUAUCGGUGGUCGAUAGAACUUGAGGGAAUAUUUGUUCUACCUUUAGCUCCUUGUUGGGUUCGACACUCUUACUUAUCGAAAGAGGCUACAAUUGAUCCCCUAUACUUGUGGGUUAUCAAGACCUUUUUCUGGCGCCGUUGCCGGGGAGCAAUAGCGUGGGGUGAAUAUUCUCAUGUGUGCUUGUUUGCUUUAUCACUAAGUAAUUUUUAUUUGCUGUUCUUAGUUGUUGUUUAUCUUUACUUAUGGAUAUGGAACACGAAAUACCAAAAAAAUUAGGUGUACGUGCUACUCAUGGAGAUGGGGAACCUCCUAAAACCCUCGAUGCUCAUUAUGUGAAAGAUAUUAUGUACUACUUUGAUAAUCCCGAGAAAACCCCAUUCAAUUAUGUAAUGGGAUACACGUUGGAUCAACGUGAAUACUUUAGGGAUUAUCGCUUGACUCAAAAAGGGAAACUAUUAUGGGAUCAAAUUCAUAUGUUGAAGUGGUAUGCUAGGCAACUAUGCUUGAGAUAUGAUUAUACUUGUUGCUCUAGGAUGAAGUCUCCACACCUUCCCUUUUCAUGCGAAUUUAAUGAUAAUGAAACCUUGGCUUCUUAUGCUAGAGGUAUAUAUGAUUACUAUGAUGUGGAACAAAUAGAAGAAUUUGUUGCUUUUAUGGGUGCUUAUGAAAUUGAAUCUAUGUUCAAAGAGUUUGAAAAUCUUUAUGAUGCUGUUUAUAGACCUGAAAAUUUAGCUAUCCUUAAAAUUUGCUAUGCCAAUUAUGAAUUCAGUUCCGAUAUUGAUGCAUUUAUUGAGAAAGUCUCCGCUGUCCAAGAAGAGACUAAUAUUUUGCAAGAGUCUUUGGAAGAAGAAAUUGAUGAAACUAUGAGCUCAUUGGAUGAAAAAGAUGAUGAGGAGAGCGAAGAACAAAAGGAGGAAGAGCGGAUUAGCUACCCGUGCCCACCUUCUAAUGAGAGUAACUCUUCAACUCAUACAUUGUUUAAUUUCCCUUCGUGCUUACCGAAGGAUGAUUGCUAUGAUGACUAUUAUGAUCCCGUUGAUUCUCUUGAAAUAUCCCUUUUUGAUGAUGCUUGCUAUGCUUGUGGCCAAGAUGCCAAUAUGAAUUAUGCUUAUGGAGAUGAACUUGCUAUAGUUCCUUAUGUUAAACAUGAAAUUGUUGCUAUUGCACCCACGCAUGAUAGUCCUAUUAUCUUUUUGAAUUCUCCAAACUACACUAUAUCGGAGAAGUUUGUGCUUAUUAAGGAUUAUAUUGAUGGGUUGCCUUUUACUACUACACAUGAUGAUUUUGAUGAGUAUAAUAUGCAUGUGCUUACUGCUCCUACUUGCAAUUAUUAUGAGAGAGGAACUAUAUCUCCACCUCUCUAUGUUUCCCACAUGACAAAAUUGCAAGAAACUGUUUAUAUUAUGCAUUGGCCUUUACUUUGUGUGCAUGAAUUGUUCUUUUAUGACAUGCCGAUGCAUAGGAAGAGAGUUAGACUUCGUUGUUGCAUGAUAUAUGUUGCCUUGUGCUCACUACUAAAUGCCAAAUCAUUGCUAAUUAAAAUUGGCUUUGAUAUACCUUGGGAUCCGGGUGGGUUCACUACUUGAGCACUAUAUGCCUAGCUUAAUGGCUUUAAAGAAAGCGCUGCCAGGGAGACAACCCGGAAGUUUUAGAGAGUCAUUUGUUUCUGUUGAGUGCUUUCAUAUAGUUUAAAAACAAAAAAAUAAAGAGGGGAACCCGAAACUCUUCAAAAAGAAAAGCGAAAGUGAGAAAGACGAGCAUUGUUGAAGUGGGAGCUAGCCUUGAACUUUGUUCAUGCUCACGGAAACUUUGUGAAUCUUGAUUACAGAAACUUUUCAACAAAAAUAAUUAUCCCCUUGUACAAUUCCAUUUUAUUAUAAAAAUAAUGUGCCAAGGUUUGCCUUUAGGAUGUUUACAAUGCUUGUUGGUUUGUACGGUGCAGGACAGAAACUUUGGCUGUAGUGCUCGAUUUUACAUUUUUUACUGGAACGUCAAAUGGUUCUGAUUCUUUUUGAACUGUCUUUCUAUAUAAAUUUUUUAUUUUUCCUAAUUUUGGCAGAAUUUUUCAAGUACCAUAAGUAUGGUGAAUGUUCAGAUUAUUACAGACUGUUCUGUUUUAGACAGAUUCUGUUUUUGAUGCAUAGUUUGCUUGUUUUGAUGAAACUAUCGAUUUAUAUCAGUGGAUUAAGCCAUGGAAAAGUUAUAUUACAGUAGCUACAAUGCCAAAACAAAAUAUGAAUUGGUUUGCAACAGUACUUAGAGUAGUGAUUUGCUUUAUUAUACUAACGGAUCUUACCGAGUUUUCUGUUGAAGUUUUGUGUGGAUGAAGUGUUCGAUGAUCGAGAAGGUCUCGAUGUGAGAAGAAGGAAGAGAGGCAAGAGCUCAAGCUUGGGGAUGCCCGAGGCACCCCAAGUAAAUAUUCAAGGAUACUCAAGCGUCUAAGCUUGGGGAUGCCCCGGAAGGCAUCCCCUCUUUCUUCAACAAGUAUCGGUAUGUUUUCGGAUUCGUUUCGUUCAUGCGAUAUGUGCAAAUCUUGGAGCGUCUUUUGCUUUAGUUUUCAUUUUUCUUUCAUGCACCAUGCUGGUAUGAGAUAUUACUUGGUUGAUUUAUAGAAUGCUCAUUGCACUUCACUUAUAUCUUUUGAGUAUGGCUUUAUAGAAUGCUUCAUGUGCUUCACUUAUAUCAUUUGAAGUUGGGAUUGCCUGUUUCUCUCCACUUAGAAAACCGCCAUUUGUAGAAUGCUCUUUUGCUUCACUUAUAUUUGUUAGAGCGUGGGCAUAUCUUUUGUAGAAAGAAUUAAACUCUCUUGCUUCACUUAUAUCUAUUUAGAGAGAUGACAGGAACUGGUCAUUCACAUGGUUAGUCAUAAAAUCCUACAUAAACUUGUAGAUCACUGAAUAUGAUAUGUUUGAUUCCUUGCAAUAGUUUUGUGAUAUAAAUAUGGUGAUAUUAGAGUCAUGCUAGUGGGUAGUUGUGGAUUGUAGAAAUACUUGUGUUGAAGUUUGUGAUUCCCGUAGCAUGCACGUAUGGUGAACCGUUAUGUGAUGAAGUCGGAGCAUGAUUUAUUUAUUGAUUGUCUUCCUUAUGAGUGGCGGUUGGGGACGAGCGAUGGUCUUUUCCUACCAAUCUAUCCCCCUAGGAGCAUGCGCGUAGUACUUUGUUUCGAUAACUAAUAGAUUUUUCCAAUAAGUAUGUGAGUUAUUUAUGACUAAUGCUGAGUCCAUGGAUUAUACGCACUCUCACCCUUCCACCAUUGCUAGCCUCUCUAGUACCGCGCAACUUUCGCCGGUACCAUAAACCCACCAUAUACCUUCCUCAAAAUAACCACCAUACCUACCUAUCAUGGCAUUUCCAUAGCCAUUCCGAGAUAUAUUGCCAUGCAACUUCCAUCAUCAUCAUAUACAGGACUCGAGAAUUCAUUGUCAUAUUGCUUUGCAUGAUCGUAAGAUAGCUAGCAUGAUAUUUUCAUGGCUUGUACGUUUUUUUGAUAUAUUUGCUACGCUAGAUCAUUGCACAUCCCGGUACACCGCCGGAGGCAUUCAUAUAGAGUCAUAUCUUUGUUCUAGUAUCGAGUUGUAAUAUUGAGUUGUAAGUAAAUAAAAAGUGUGAUGAUCAUCAUUAUUAGAGCAUUGCCCCAGUGAGGAAAGGAUGAUGGAGACUAUGAUUCCCCCAUAAGUCGGGAUGAGACUCCGGACUUUACAAAAAAUAAAAGAGGCCAAAGAAUCCCAAAUAAAAAAAGAGGCCAAAGAAGCCCACCAAAAAAAUAAAAAAAAUAAAA
Molecule: long non-coding RNA, 50738 nt
Filed under: Triticum aestivum (bread wheat)
Lineage: Eukaryota; Viridiplantae; Streptophyta; Magnoliopsida; Poales; Poaceae
Description: long non-coding RNA (TAES_LNC013732)
Rfam family: MIR1120/MIR1122 microRNA precursor family (bases 5986-6110)
Source: RNAcentral